Molecule: long non-coding RNA, 74853 nt
Filed under: Coffea arabica (coffee)
Lineage: Eukaryota; Viridiplantae; Streptophyta; Magnoliopsida; Gentianales; Rubiaceae
Description: long non-coding RNA (CARA_LNC002488)
Source: RNAcentral
AAGAAAUAAGGAUUAAUCGCAUAUUAUUGCAUAAUGAACUUCAUGGAUAACUGUGAAGAAAUAUGAGCGUGGCUUCAGAGGCAACUUAAUGCCAAUUUGUUACUGACUUACUGAGAAAACAUGAUUUAUAGCAGAGUACUGUAUACUCUGUGUAACUAUCUAAUGGAACUAUGAUUAAAGAAAGAUGUUAGUUGAAAAUCCCAGUCUUUAAGUCUGUUACUUCUGUGAUGAAAUAAUACCAAAGAACUGGAGAAGGAUUCAAAAUUUAACUAUCUUGGCCAUUCUGCUGAGGGACUGGCCUAGUAACCCUUAUUGGAGAAUGGAGAACGAAAAAAGGGUGAUAGAAAAGGCUUUUUAGUAAUAUGUGGUAGCAUUUUUUUUUUCCUUUUUUUGAGUAAAAUAAGAAUAUCAUUUCAAGAAAAACACUGUUUAGCAGAGUGGUUGAAGAAAAUGAUGCAGUACUAACUUAAUAACAGUUAAGUUAAUACGUACGUAGUAUGCAGUAACAGUGCCAGCAGAGUUGCCAGCAACAAGUUUAAGCUGCAUAUCAAUUCUUCCAAACAGAUACUCUCUCUUGGAUUGGAAACCAGAGCCAGAUUCCCUGUCCAAAGACAAGGAAAGCAGCUGCCCUCUAUUGAAAAUCUUUGCUUUAUUACCACCCCAUGUAAGAUCAAAAUCUUGGUAGAAAUUGCCACCAUAUGCAACCAUGCAUGAGCUUAAAAACACUAGGACUCCAAUAUGAGAAAAAGCCAUUUUGUUAAUGGGACUUUGUCACAAAUAUGAGACUACUACUUUUUGUGACUAAAACCUUUGAACUUGGGGUGUAUAUAUAGGGGUUUAGGAGGGUUCUAUAUAGCUAUUAUUAAAUAGGGUAGCAAAAUGCUUGUGAUCAAUGAGGGAGCUAGAGAUGGGGGCACUGAAGGAGGGGUGGCCUAGCUAAAGGCUGGUGCCAGCUGAGCAGCAUGAAAGCUGGAAGGUUUUGUUUUGUUUGGGGGAUUGGUGGUGGGUUCAGGAGUUUUGGUGUUUAGUUAAGAAGGCUUGAGAUGGAGCUUCCAAGAAUGAUUCUGUCCUAUGAGAGAUGCAAUGCAUGGGUAUGGCCCUCCUUUAGGUAUUGAUUAUUGGACCAUUCAGUGGAUGCCAACCAGAUUGUGUACUUGCUGACAAGUAUAAUGAGCCAAAAGAGAUUGGUGCAAUGAACAAAAUGUGUUCUUUAUCCACUUCAAUUUUUUCUUUUUUUCUAUUUGCCAAGAUUGAACCAUUUUCAACUGAGAAAUUUUGAAUCAAUGGAACGCUGGAGAUGUUUCAAAGUAACUGUAAAUACCAUCAAGAAAAGUUUGACGAAAAAUUGAAUUCAAUAGUACCAUCAAGAAAUGAAAGUGCUCAAAAUAGGAUGAAAUUGGUAUCCUCCACCAGUAAAUUACUUGCACGCUGAAAGUUGAUUAACACUUAGAUAAUGCCUAACUUGCAACUAUAGUAGGUUCAAUGUCAAUGAAAUCUGUCAAAAAGAACUAUUUGUGAACUGUGCAUGUCCAUGAAUGAAGUACCAAUCCCUCUCAAGUCUCAAACUUAUCCUUAGGAUGUGUUACAUUAUUGGUCUUCUGUCAUUGUUUAGUUCAAAAUUUUUACGUGAUGUACAAGCUUUUAUGGCCAAGGUCACUUCAACAAGGCCAGCCAGCUAAGAGCUAACACUCAAUUUGACUCUUUUCAAUAAAGUUCACUUUCCUGAAAAGGAGGCUUGGGUAUGAGGCCAUAAUCCAUUCAAAUCUCAAAACCCUAAAACUAUGGGAUGGGAAGUCUUGUUGUUUUGUUUGUAACAGUUUGUACUAUUUCUAGCAAUUUCAUGCUUGCAAAAUUUGUUGUUCAAUGAACAAUUAUAGAACGCAUCAUGCAAAAUAGGGAAAUGAAGCAUCCUUUUUUAUAUUGAAGGGAACUGUAAUUAUUAUCUGAGAGUGUGCACUGAAUAAAUCUCAUUCCAUAUAAUAAUCCACCAGUUACACGAAAUGGUAAGACAUAUUAGGCAAACCUUCUUGUGCGACAAGCAGAAAAAUAGGCAUCCUUACCUAAACAGUUAAAUAUUCUAUCUAUCUAAUAGUAUUGUGUUUCUUCCUCCUUUUAGCUUGAUGGUCUUUCUACCUAAAAUAGAGACGCCCUCCCAAUGAAAUGAUUUUGCUUAUGGGGAUAUUUGAAUUAAGUACUAUAAAGAUGCUCUCUUAGCGGUGCUAGAAUUUCAUGGUUCAAAAGUGGUAAAGCUGGGAAACCCAGGACAUUUUCUCCCAAAGAAAGUGAAUAUCCAGCUGGUGAUAAGCCGCGGAACCACAUAAAUAAUUUCACAAGUUGAAUCUACAGGAAUAAAAUGCUCAAGAAAAGGAUGUUGCUUUGAAAUUUACAGCUGCCCGGCCGGUCAUCAUCACGGGUCACUCUUCAGUCAUGAGAAUUCUUGCAUCUUGAGUUCAUGGAUCCUGAUAUUCCCCACUUGUAAUUUAUUCUCCCUGUGAUUGCAUUGGUUGCGUAGAGAUUACAUUUUUAAUCAAGUUGGCAAGUGGUUUAGAACUUUAGAUGUUUCAAAAGCAAAAUUGUGUGAAUUUUCAAUAGUUUUUAACGGAAUGAUGUUGAGUUCUUGGUGUACUUUUUAAAGCCUAUAAGUAUCAUGUACCAUAAGGUCGUGUUUGAUAACCUAAUUCAACAUUUAAUGAAUUCAGAUCUUAAUAUGUUCAGACACGUUUAAUAAUCUGAAUUAAUUAUGUGUCACUGAAUUUUCUGAAUAAAACUUGCUCCCAAAAAUAAGUGGUGGGCUAUUCACUUGUUCCUUAAUUUGAUAUGCACUCAAACGUAUCUGACUUAGUAAUUAACAAUUCAAUAACUCAAUCGAUUUAGAUUUCAGUUUUCAGUUUUUAAACUUCAAUUUUAUCAAAUGUUGAACUUAAAAUUAUGUAUCAUCAUCUAGACCUACUAGUAUACCCCAAAAAAAUCUUUACCCUGACCAUAUAGAAAAGAUUGUAUCAACUUAUAUGUGACACUACAAACACACCAAUCUUAUAAAGGAUUCAAUUAUGAUUUCCUUAAUUUCUUUUUGUAGAACACAUUAGAAUUUCAUUAAUGAAAUCUUCACUAAUGGCCAGAAUACCCCAGACAUAUACAGGUUUUACAUAUUUGAAAAAUUAAUAAAAAUUUUCUUAGUUAGUAUACAAUCACGAUUUCCUUAAUAAGUUAGUAAUCAAUUGUCGGUGAUAUCAUUAUUUUAGAAAAAGAAGAGGGAUCUAACUAACAAUUAGAAUAAAAACAUAAUUUGCUAAUGGAUCUAUUGAAAGAAGACAUUUCACAAAAGUUUCAAUCAAGUUUAACUAAUUUUCACCCUCAAAGAAAAAAAAACGUAAUAAAUUCUGCAGAUUCUACCUGUCAUUCAAUAUAGCAUACUUUACAGGCUGACAACUUUCAUGACAUUUUUGUUUUACAAACGAAAGUGUUCCAUCCACUAACACACACAAAAAAAAAUGUGUAGUUAAAUGAUCCCAUAGUUGGAUACAGUAUCUAACUGAUAAUAAACUAAAGCUUAAUCAAGUACUUUUACUUUUCCAGAAUUAGUACAUUCACUUAUCAUCCACAAACAAUUAAAUGGAGUUUUCCAAAUAAAAAUUUCAAAUUUGAUUAUAUGCAGAGGGAUUUGUGAUAAAAAUAUGGUGAAAGAAGCAUAUUACCAACUCAAUAGUUCAUCUCAUGAUAUACUAAUUUGUAGGUUUAAUUUUUUUUAGUAGUUUAAUUUUUUUUUGCAUGAAAUUAAAUAUGUUGAGAACAAAUUUUACCAAGUUCAAUAAUCUUUUCUUGAGUUCUUUUCCUUCUUCUUUUGAAACACCUUGUCCCAAGAAUAUAUGCUUUUCAUUUGUACACCUCGUGACAAGAAGUUAUCCAAAUUAACACAUGCACACAAAUAAGCUAUACCAAGGCUAUUGUUUAGAAUCAUCUAACUCAAAAUUCAUGUGUAUUCAACUUCUUAUAGCUUUUGGAGCAUCAGGUUAUUCACUUAUCAUGAAAAAAGAAAUACAUAAUUGUAGUUUAAUUUGACUAUAUAUAUAUACAAAAGCCAUCAAAUUUGAGGUUAAUAUGUGAGUGUUAUGCUUUUGAGUUCUCAAUUUUUCAUUUUCUUUCUUUUGUACAAGAAGGGGAAUGUUUAAUCAUUUAUGUCAUCAUUUAUCAACUUAACCAACCAAUACCUUUGUCUAUUAGUGGUUACAAAAGCUAAUCCCUCCAAUAAUUCAUCUCAUCUGCAUAGGUUUCUAGCUAUAUGGCUUCCUUUGUUUUCUUCAUUUAGUACAAGAAGGAGAAUGUUUUAUCAAUUUUGGUAUCAAUUAUCAUCUUGACCAACCAAUUAAUAUCUUUGUAUAUUAGUUGUUGCAAAAGCUAACCCCUCCAAUAAUUCAUCUCAUCUGCAUAGGUUUCUAGCUAUAUACAAACGUUAGAAGUAAAAUCCAACAAACAAUUCAUUGACUUAAGGGCUCCCCAAUUGAAAUAAUUAAAAAUAUUUCAAUUUUCAAUUCGAGGCUAGGGGCAUCUGAAGUAAGAAAAGUGAACCUAGACCCCCCAAAAAAAAAAAAAAAUUAGACCAAUAGUAGGAAAGUGGACCAAGAUAGUAGUAUGUUCAUCACCGAAGACCUAACUAGUGUGAGGCUCAAAACCCACCGCCGUCAGCGUGAAAGGGUCCACUUUGAUUCAUUUGUUUGAAUUAUGAUCAUCUACAUAGUUAAUGCAUGAGCAACCCGUGAUAGAAAUGAUAAAGAAGUGAGAGUUCUUGAAUUCUAAUCUUACAAAUUUGAAUCUAUUUUAAUUUUAUGUUGAUAUUUAUUUAUCAUUUCUUGGUUGGUUGUAAUUAUGUCGAGUUGUAGUAUAUUGAUUGUUGAUUUUGAUUCACCAUCAAACGUAACUUGUUCUCUGAUUUUAAAUAGAAAAAGAAAGAAUUACACGAUUGAUUGUAAUGUUGUUGAGUUGCAGUACACUGAUAUUGAUCCCACCAUUAUAUGUUACUUGUUAUCUGAUCUUAAUAACAAAAAAGAAAAAUAAGGGAGGAGGCGGGGGAGGGCCGGAGGUAUUCGUUAACGAUAAGAUGAGCAGAAAUAAUGAACUUUAAUUUUCAAGUUCUUUAUUUUUUUUUUUUUUUUGUGAACCUUCAAUUUUGAAUUAUUUCUAACCUAUUCACGGGGUCUACAUUCAAUCAUGAGAAUAGACCUACAAACUAACGAAGUUGAAGGUAGAUAUAGACAUAAGUAGUGGUACUACAUUAUUAGAUGUUGACGAGAAAAUUUUAUUGUGAAACAAUUUGGUGCACAUCACAAGUAGAUAUACUUUGUGCAAGAAAUGGACACCGGACUUUUGCGCACUUUAGAACGCUUUUUUUUUUUUUUUUUUUCCAACAACGAUAAUAUUUGUAUAAUCUAAUAUAUCCUAGGGGAAUCUAAAGAGGAUGUGAAAGAAAUUAGCAAGUAUACAGAUCUGACUAGAUCAAAGGGGUGCUCGGACAUAUCUUUUGAAUUUUUUUUUCAUUGUAGGUGAGGUUCGAAUACCCGAUCUAUAACUCAAAAAGGGACUUAAUCUCUUUUUGGAAUGCUGAUAUACAUCAAAAUUAGUUUCCUAACUUGGGAAGCCACAAGUCCUCUGGUCAUCAAUCCUACAAACAAGUAAUGAGGUAGGGAUAUUGUACAUAGGCUCCAACUAUCUGUUUUGCUUCUGAUGUUUGCAAGUAAUUGAGAACUUCAUUACAUAGACUACAUAGAAUGGAUAAACAUGUCGAAAAACAAGAUGGUAAUAAAACUAAAAAUUCAUUCAAAAUUAAAACUUAGUAAAUUGUUUCCUCUAGGAAAGAAAGAAAAUGCCUGGAUGCCAUUUAUGUUCCAAGAAAUGCUAGACGAUUGUUAGACCCUUGGCCUAAUAUGAUUUAAUGGUUAUGGUUGAAAGUUCAGAAUUUAGAAGUUUUGGAUUUAAAUUCCUCUUAUCUUAUCUCCUCGGUACUUAUUAAAUUUCACCAUUCUUCUCCUAAAAAUAAAACAAGGAAAGAAAAAGACGGACAAGUAUUCCAAGUUCAUCGUUACUACAUGUAUAAGAUAAUUCAUUAAUAUAGUGCGUGCAUUAUUACCUAAAACGAUAAUGGUUGUAUGAGAAGAGCUAUGUGCCUAUGGCUAAAGAGAAUCUGUGUAGUACAUCGGCAUGGUCACAGGAGCAUUAAUUUAUAUCUAAUUAGUAUGGCCAGAGUUUGGUGAAAAGAAUUUUUCCUCACGAGAGAUUGAUCAAAGUUGAUAGCAACCUUAGCUUGAAAAAUUUUAGAGGGUCCCAAUCAUAUUGAUGAGAGAAUAAUAUCUUCAAGAAAAUAUUUGAUUCGACCCAAGACUAUUAUAUUUUUCCCAAAAUGGGCAAUUUACAACAGAAAGAGACUAUAAAAAUGAAGAUGAUUUCAGUUGGCAAAAGUGCUCUUCACUUGAAUCCAAAAAUUGGUUGACAUCUGCAGUUUUCAAUAAAUUAUUUUUGAAAAAUUUUACAACCGUAUUUACUAACAAUCUUUUAUCUCACAUUUAUGAUAUCUACUUUAAAAAGUGCUACAGAAAUAUCUUCUUAAAAUUUCUCCACGUUGAAAAUGAAAUUGAAACAAAUUUUGGGUCCUAAAUUAUUUUUUACCUGUCGAACUUGAGAUAAAAUAAUAGCCCUAGGAAUCAAAGGUCUUGGAUGUCUUUCUCCCUACUUCUUAAAUCACAUCCAUUCCCUAUUAUUAAAAAAAAAAAUUAAAAGAAGAAGAUAAAAUAAUACCUAUUUUCUUCAAAAUUUGUCACUGCACAAGAAAAGAAUAACUUUUGGGUUCUAUUUCCAUCUAAUUCGAGUUCUAAAUUAUGAGCCCUUUUGGUAGAUGAGUUUUUUAAGUGAUUUUCUUAGCUAAAUAAUUUGGUGAUUAUAUAUGUUCACAAUCAUUGCUUAUCCCAAGAAUCUCAUAAUUGUAAAAUAUACUAACUAGCAUAAAAUUAGUGAAUCUCAAAGCCAUACAAUUAGGUGUAGGUUAAUGACAAACCGGCCUUCACCCAAUGAGAAAAGCUUCAAACCAUUUUCUAGUAAAUAAAUUUUCUUGUGGGUACCUAAGGGAGCAAAUGAAAAUUGAAAAAUUAGGAUGUGGGUAGUUCUUCUUUUAGAAAGUUGAGUCAGGUUCAGUGUUUUUUUUAACAAGAAUCUAGGAAAAAGUCAAAUCUUAAAUCAUGUAAUAAGAAUAUUCCUGAAGAAUUUUAACAAAAGAACUUCGAAUCAUUUGUACCCGCAUGUAUACUGACUAUUUUCUUUUUUUAUUUUUUGUGGGAGGGAAAAUAAAAAGCAAGAAGGCAGAAGAAUAAGGAUAUUUUUCUAGUCUUCAUUUUGUCGAUUUUCAUCUCUAAACGGGCGUGUUCUUGCUUGCCUUGACGUUUAUAAAAUUUGACGAGAAAAUUUUUUUUUUUGUUUUCUUUAAGGGAUAAUUUCAGAAAUCUCUCUGAACGUUUUUCAUAAUAUCGCUUAGUACCUCUUAGGUUCCAUUGGUACUUUAUCUUUGUUGAUUGAGUGUUCGAUGACUUAGUAAACUUGCAAUCUUUGACCCUAUGAAGCACAAUUUUAUUGUCCCUCCUGAGAGGUUCCAAGUACAAGUUCUUUUGUCCAUUCGUGUUUGGAUUGCAUUUUCCAUGAUUUUUCAUGGAAAAAUUACUGUAGCGAUUUGAUGUAUGUGAGGAAAAAAUGUAACAGGGAAAUGUGAUCACGGAAAACAAUGUAAUUUUUCGACGAAAAGCCGCAAUCCAAACAAGUUUUUCCAUAUACUGCCCAUGAUGUUAUGAAUUCUUCCAUUUCAUUUUCCAAACAAAAAAUCUAUUGAGAUUCUUAUUGCUAUGUGUUUUAGUUUUAGUUUGUUUCACUCUUAUUUUGAUUCCUAUGACAAAUGCUUUGAUUUUCUUGUAACUAAGGCUACAAACGAAUCGAACUCGAAUUUAAAAAUACUAAAUUCGUUAACUCGCGAACCAACUCGAACUCAAAUAUAUAUUUUUUAUUUUUUAUUUUAAUAAUAAAAUUACAUAUAUAUUCCUAAUAUUUUAUUUUUUAUUAAAAAAUUAUUAUUUUAUUCAUUUUUUAAAAAUAAAAUUUUAAUUUUUUAUUUUUUUAAGCUCAAGCUUGAGCUUGACAUUUUGAGCUCGUUGAAAUCGAGCUCGAGUUUGAGUUUCGUAAAAUUAUGUUAAGGCUCGGCUUAAUUAGGCCGAAUCUCAACUCGACUCGUUUGCACCCUUACUUGUAAUCAAAAAAACUGAGAACAAGGUAUCAUCAUCAUCACAAGACACAACGGCCAUGCAUGUAAUUCAACUUUCCAAUUGGUCCUUCCGAUUAGGGUAUCUGUUAAGUGAUCCCUCUGGCCAUUAGUACAUUUUUCUUCUGCCCCUUCAUAUGUCACAGUGUUUUUUCUAUUGCAGUCUCACCUCCCAACCCUCUAAGAGGAAGCAAAUUUAUGUAUAGCUCCAUGAGUUCAAAAUUAGUAACCAGGAAAGGGAAAAUCACUAUUAUUCCAUUAAACUUCAUAUGUGAUAUUAUACCAUGAGCUAAUUUACAUCUACCCACGUUGAACUGUUAACAGUGUCAAAUUACAACAUCAUCUUCUCUUCUGACAAUCACAUCUCUAAGAAUCAAAUUACCACCCAAAUACAGAUCAUCAAGGCCUCAAGGAUGUCAAAAGAGAUACCAAGGCAAGGACAAGGGAGUUGCACUGGAACAUAACUACGGGAACACCACAGAGGCUGAUAAAGCAUAACUAACUGAAACUAUGGCAUACCAACCCUGUUGCCACUUGGGUGAUCCAUUGAGAGUUGAAACAGGUACUGAUGACCUCCACAGGUACCAUUUGCAGCUUGCCUAUCGACGGGAUUGACCAGUAGCAACAUCAAAACCAGGAGGUAUGAAAACAACAUCAUCCCACUUCGAAGAUGAGUCAUCCUGCAUUAUUGAUUUAUGUGUUAACUCAAAUUUCUGUUCAUGAAAUCCAAAGAAAAAAUGCUGAAAUACAGGUAACAAUAAGCAGAAGUCAGAAUAUAUUAGCAAACCCUUGAGGGUGAAACAUUCAACUUCGGAGUAUACCGACAAGAUUUUCUUACCUUCAUCCCUCGUAUUAUAUCUUCAAAAACAGCAACCUACAAGAUCAAGUCAAAAGUUGGUAUCUUGAAGCAUGGACAUGUCUAAAGUUUUGACAUAGAAUGGACACUACUAUCUAAUGCAAAAUUGGUAAUAUUUUAGGUGAUUGUUUACAUAUACAGACACCAAACUUAGAGACGCUCAAGUACUCUUAUACUUGCUGAUAAUAGUUGAUGCAUCCAAAAACUUUACCUGAAUUUCUCCCUCUCUAAAAGCAGGAUUCAAUCUCUCAUAACGAGUUGCACAAUUCAGGGAUUUUAUCAAGUCCUCCUACACAAUAGCAAAGAAGGGGAAAAAGCCACAGUCAUACAGAAUGGAAGAAUGACACUGGGCAUCCAAAUGAUAAAUUUAACUAACAGCUAACCUUCCUAAAAAAGACAGGGCGAUAUCUCUUGUCUUGGGUCCUCAGAAUCAAGCUUUUUGACUGUAAACCACCACAUUUUAGAGAAGUUAAAAUCAUUCACACCACAUAUUGAUGAGCAGACUGAGAAUUGCCUACAAUUAUAGACCAUAUUUUAACCAUUAGUAGUUUACGAGCAGCAUGGGAUCAGUCGAACAAGUCUUGUUAAUACCACCGGAGCAAAUCUUUCAAGCACACGUCUGUCAUCUAUAUUGCUGUCAUCAUACAUUAGUAAAGAACAUAUAUGCACGAGUUCAACAGAUCCUAACCAAAGCAAAGUGCUUAACGGUGAGUCCAGAAACAAUAUCUCAUCGUUCAUCCUUGUUUUCAAGGUUUGAGAAUUUCCUAAUUGGAGAGUUUAACCAAAAAAAAAGACAAUGCCAACAGCAUUCCAGAAGAAAAAAACAUAUCAACCAAGAAAUAUGAACAAUCAUUAAACUUGACAAUACGCAAAACCAUCUUAAAUUGAAUUUCCAUCAUGAAUCAUCAUUACUGCCCAAUCCAGAACCCUUUGUUUUCAGGUUUCUUGCUAAAUGGACAAAUUCUUCUAAUUUAACAACUUAUCAACCAAUUAAUAUUUUCUCCUUGAGAACACAUCAAAAACUCCAAUUCACAUGCUAACACUAUGAUUGUAGCACUAAGAAGGAAAAUCAGUUGAGACAAAAAUUAACUCGAACCAAUAGAUGCUGCCACCCAAACUUUCCGGCUUUUAAAUAAAUAAAAAUAAAAAUAAAUGAAUUAAGAGAGAGAGGUACUGCUGUUGUGGGGAGAAAAAGAAAAAAAGUGUCAGUGAGUUUGGGUGCAAGUAAGAGCCAGAAAAGUGGGAAAGAAAAUUAUCUAUUACUACAAAGGGUUAAACCUGGAAAACUGGAACCCCGAAAAAGCUCUCAUCAUAUGCACCAGACUUCUUCCUUUCCUACAGAUAAAGCAUAAGUGAAAUUAGAUUAAACAUUCCAUACCUCCAGUUAGCAACAGAAUUCGUACGUAAUUAAUUGAUGUGCUGGACGUAGUAUUUGCACUAAACUUAAUUUAGGCCAAAACUAAUGGCCUACAUCCAAGUGUGUGGUUCAAUUUUACUUGGAGGUGCAUAAAAUUAGGGUGCACUUUUGUUCAUGGACUUUUUAAACUCUAGACAUAAGCCGUUCCUCAAUAUCUUAUACAGCAGCAAAGGAAGAAGGCCAACAAUUUACUGACAAUACUUCUUAUAUUCAGAGUUAAUAUUUAUAUAGCACUAAAGGAAGAAGGACAACAAUUUUCCAACUUGCUUUCUCAUAUUCAAAAUUAACAUAGAUAUCACUCAUGUUUCUCAAUUUUAUUUUCAGUUUAUUAAAUUUUUUCAAGUCUCCUGGAUGUAUUACGCAUAAACAAACUCGAAAUAUUUCACCAUUGCUACAGGACAACAACAUAAACUAGAAGAGAGACAAGAUCAGCAUAGAGCCACUCUUGGCAAACCACGCAUGCAUAGAAUUUUACUGUUGUCUCCCACAAAAUUCUAUUGCUGAUUGUUAAUUAACAUCAUAGAAGAUCAAAAAAGAUGCAAGGCACCAUUUAUUGUGAGAAAGCCAAAUUGACCAGAAGGGCUUAUCUCCAGAUAUGCCACCAUUGCUUGUAAAAAGAAAAAGAAAACCAUUUCAUUUUUUUUUUUAAUGGGAGGUCUUGAACCCAGGACCUCCUACUUACAAUUCCCCCCACCUUAUCACCCAACCCAACCCAACCCAACCCUCCCCCUCCCCCCAACCAUUUCAUAUGUACAUUUAAUAAAAAAAAAUGCACGAUUUGGAGUUUCAGCUUUCAACCAAAAUGUGAUGUUUCUGGACCCUUCAUUUUCCAAUGAUAACAUACAACACAAACCACUUGGAAAUUAGACAACACUGCCAUUCUGAAAAAAAGAAACUCAGAAUACAAAUCAUAACUCAACAAUCAAGUUUGACUCAUAUAUACAGUGAAUUUACUGCAAAAUAAAAUAAAAAACAGAAGAAUAACUUUAUUUUUAUUAAAUUCGUUCAUACUGCAAAAUUCUUUACCUUUAUUGCAUUCUGCACUUGAGACGCCUCUGGUAUCAACCUAAAAGCUACCCCAUCAACUUUAAGCUGAAAUACCUGCAACGCAAUUCACUCCAUCAGGCUCCAAUCUCUAGCAUUUCACCACUUGGUUACGAAUAAAAGAAAUGCACUAUCGUGCUCCAAUAAAUAUCCAUCUAAAGAAAACAGCCUAGUCAUCUUUAAAUCAAACAUCCAUCAAACUUUCUCCAAGACCACAUAACAUACCAUUUCAACAGUGUCAAACACCAAGACUUUGAUCAUUGCAUAUUCUAUCAAGAAUCCUAUGAAGCAGAAAAGCUAGUUCGUAUGCUAUCGCCUUAAUUACAUGUAACCAAUUACACUUGUCCUCCAUUAUUCACUAAGUAGGCACAUGAUAAACAACAUCCAACACCAAAACGUUGAUGAUCACCCUGUUUGCCACAAACAUCAAACAUCAUGAAGCUAGUUCUUAUCCAGAUAUACAUGUAUCAUUAGCAAUUUCCUCAUAAUGACUAAAGCAGGCAUAUAAUACACACAACUGAGAAUAAGCAUUCAUCAAAUUAACCAAGUAAGUAUCCAAAAAGACCUAUUUUUACUUAAUUUACGGAUUUUCUUCGGACCUUAUUGAGAGCUACAGCAACAACUUUGGAGCCAUCACGCAUAGAGGGAUCCAUGGACUGCAUCUGGUGAAGAAGGGCUUUAGCAUCAGCUUCAUUGAAGCAGAACAAGCCAAGAUUUCUCCCCGUAUUUUCACCAGAAACCAACACAAAUUCCUCAGAAGAAUUGCUGAGAGCAUAGACAGGGACCCCGGUUAAACGCUCCUCAAUAACCUCUGUACUUAUAGCAAGAUUCCUACUUUUAGCAUCAGAAUUAGUAAUUCCAGUAUCAGAGAAGAAGGAGGAGGAGAAGGAGAUGGGGUUGUACUAUCAGAAACUCUGGCCCAAGAGGGAUUCUUAGGAGAAGAGCCUGCGGUGGUGGGGAGGGGGAAAGGGAAGGGAGAGUGGUGCAGGAAGUUGGAGAAAUGGGAUUGGAAGGAAUUGAACACUUGGUUGAGGUGGUGAAGAGGCGCUGGUGGUGCUGGGGAAUUGGUGACGGUGGGGAGAGGGAAGGGGAGGGGAGAAUGGUGGACGAAGUUGGAGACAUGGGUUUGCAGAGAGGUGAAGGCUUGGUUGAGGAGGUGGAGAGAUGGUGGUGAUGGUGAUGGUGGCAGCGGCGGUGCUGGAGGUGGUGCUGGUGGUGGGGCUUUGGUUUUGAAGAAAUUCAUUGGUUUUUUCCUGGGUAUAUCGGAACUGGGGAUAUGGAAUUUUGAGGGGUUUGAUGAAUUUUGAGGGGUUUGGAAGGGUUUUGGUGUAGAGUGCUGAGGAGUCUGUUGGAAGAGAAGAAUUUUAAGCUUUUGCAAACUGAGAGAAGUUUAUUUUUUCCUUUUGUUUUUUUCCCCAAAAUUUACACAUGGAUUGUUCAGAAAAUAUUGGAAGGAAAGUGUUAGCAUGUGUUUAUUAAUGAUAAGAAAUAUAUUUGGAUAGAAAUUGGAAGAUUCGUUAGAAUUUUUUUUAAUAAUAAUGAAAAUAGUAUGUACGGUAAUGUGUAAUAUAUGUGAAAUAAAAAAAUAAGUAAUAAAAAUUUAAAAUAAAAAAGUAAUUCAAGAACACAUUUAUCAUGUAAUAAGACAAAAUUUUUCCAAAAAAUUGGCAAUCAAGACAAACCUACAUAUUUUAGGGAUAUUAUUUGAUCAAAUUUGUUUGUAUGAAAUUUAUGUUUUCAACUUUCUUUUUUCCUAAAAUCAAAUUCUACUGCUUCUAUAUAAUUCUGUCCAUAUCGAGCUCAUGUUCCUUUGGAAAAAAAAUACUCGUAUCUGCAUCUUUUCCUUUAAAAACAAAAUAUUGGUGUUUCUUUUUUUUCUUUUUUUUUUUAAGAUACUUGUGUUUCUUUGAAAAGUAUAUACUUUGGCUAAUGGGGCAACUUGUUAAGAAGGACCUUGUAGUUUAACUUUUUGCAAAAGUGAUGGUAAUUUUGAGGAAGUGCCUAGUUGUAAUGUGCGCAUUUACAUGAUAAGUGCUAUCAGCAUAAGAUUGGAAGUUAGGAUCCAAAUCUACAAUAAUAUAAUUAACAUGAAUUUUGAAAUUUUAGUAUUUAGUACCAAGGAUGUUGAAGAAUGCAUUAACGAUGGCUAACGAUAUUAUCAAAGUAAAAGGUUUCCCAUUGGAGCGAUUUUCACCUAAUACCUAGAUUAUCCUUGUUAAAGUUAGGACAAACCAGUUGAAGUUUUUAGAGAGUUUAUUUUAUUUAAAUUAAGAAUAACAGAAGGUUUUACAGUUCAUUUUGAAUAUCAUACUCAUAAACGAAAUUCACCGUCGGAUGUUGAAUGAAACAUUAUUAAUCCUUAGAUUAAACAUGGUUAAAUAUUUAAAUUUUAAAUUAUUAUCUUUAGUGAGAAAUACAAGUUGAGGGAAUGGAACAAAAAAAAAACCAUAAAAUUUUCUAGGAACAACUAGCAACUGUGAAGUCCAUCUGAAUUCUGUAUUUGACUUUGAGUAAUUGAGGUGAACUCUGGAGGGUAAUGCUGUCAGUUAAGCAAAUUUGCUCUAGCUCCAUACUGGCAAUUACAGUUUUGCAGCCUAUCAAGAAGUUGGACUGUUUUACCCAUGUAAGCUGGACCACAACAAGAUCUGUAAUCUUCUACUCGGUCUAUUUUUCUCAUUUGGGCUCAUUCUGAAUAUUAAGAUACAGAUUUUGGUCAUGGUCAUAUGAUCACAAACUAUGGAUCCAAUUAUUGCUUUCUCUAGUGGGACUUUUCCAUUUCAUUCUUGAUCUCUAGUUUCAUAAAUCAGUACUGAGAGAAUGCAUGAUGGCAACAAACAAUGUUGAGCAUCGGUCUUAAAAUCCGAUUGUAAAUUGCAUUUUUCCCCAAAAUAUUUAUACGUUUUCUGUGAAUCCAUUUCUCAAUCAGCUUUUCACCAUACAUACAUUAAAUUGCUAUAGUACAUUUUUCUACAAAAACUUCAGAAAAUAGUAAUCUAAACGGCUCUAUAUCUUUAGAAUAAAAUAGCAUUACUGGCCAAAUUUAGUCUUUUUUAUUUUGUACAAGCUUUGUGUUUAACAUAACAAUGUCGUCCAGAAUGCUAAGUGGAAAAACACAAACCCUCAAAUAGGAAAUCAAUAUCUUAGAUAACCAACGGUAAUGUUUAUUAUGUUUGCAAUAUGAUUUCUAAAAAAAUAUUCUAGUUAGUUUAUCCAAAAUAUAAUUGAGAGAACAAAAAUUUGGUAAGUUAUUGCUGUGAAGUACAUGAUAGAAUAAUAGAACAAAAUCAAAGAGCUUUUAGAAGAUAAUGAAAAAUGUUAAUAGAAUCUCUUAUUUGUUAAUGACACUUCUCUUAUACCUUUUUCCACUAUGUGUGGAAUAAAAGAAAUAUUUAAUGAGUUGCAAUAUUUUUAGCCAAUUUACACACUCAGCAGGUCAAAAAGAGUACAAGUCAUAAGGGGAAUGCCUUUAACAUUUCCUAAGAUAAAUUUAUUACUUCUUUUAUAUAUAUAUAUAUAUAUAUAUAUAUAUAUAUAACAAAUUUAUUACUCCUAUAUGUUCUUAUAGCUAAAGCAGAAAUCCCACUUCGUUGCAAGUAUGAAAUAAGUUAGUCUGCAAUACAUUUGUCAAAGAGAAUGCUGCAAUAUUAACCUUUAGCAAUCAUGGCUGAAAAAAGUUUACUCUGAAAAGCUUAUGAACAUAUUUUAGAUCCCGUUUAGGGUUACGGUACUUUUGUACUUUUAGUAAAAAAAACACUAUUAAGUGCUAAAAGUACUUUUGAAACGUUUGAUAAAUAUCAUCCCAUGAAAUCAGGAGUAGAGUUUUUUGUGUUAAAAAUACUUAUAACAAAAACUCAAAUUUAAUGCUUUUAGAAUAUAUUUUGUAUUUUAGAAAAUAAAACAUUAAAUUUAAAAAAUUUAAAUUACAGAUUAUCCAAUAUAACAAGUACUUAUUAAACUAUAUAUCCAAAUAAUAUACAUAAAAGCACUUAAGUAGUUAAUAAAUAAAUUUAUUAGAUAUUUUAUUGGCGAAAUACUUUUCAAUAAAUUACAGCAACCCCAAAUAGGCCCUCAACAAGAGUUGCCAAACACGAAACUAGAAUGCACAAGGGGCUUUGCAUUUGGUUUGUUGGUACAUUUUUGUUACCGCAUGUUAGUACCAUAAUACUUCAGGCAGUUGAAAACGACAAAUGGCUGACCAGAGAGCAACUUUGGUUUGGAGAUUUCAAUAAUUAUUAGUACCAAUUAUACAUGCAUAAUAAUAAUGUAAACAACAUUAAAAUGGUAGUCACAACUACUAAAAUUGGAAAUCCUAUAAUGGAUAUUGUUCACCCAACAAUCUUAUCAAAUCUUUAGAAUUUCUCCAAAUUUCAAUCUUCACCUUACCAAAUUUAGAUAGGGAGAUCUUAGCCUCGAAUUAUCUCCUACAAUUAUUCAUUACAAUUCUCGAGAACCUAUUUAUUUUUCUUGAGGUGAUAAUCAUAUCAAAUCAUGUAGUCCUAUCAAUUUUUUUCAUAUAUAUAAAAAACAAAUUUCAUUACGGGAUGGUUAAAAAUCGUCCAACACAUCAUCAUUCUAAUAGCAAGUUAAACUAUCUCGGACUUGCAAUUCUAGUAGCAUUAUUAAUUUGUCCGGUGCACGAUCAGACAUCCGAAUUCCAAAUUAUACAUUUGUGAGGGCCUUAGCGGUUGGUGACACCAAAAGGAAGCAAUAAAAUGAAGCUUUUCAAACACGUGAUAGCUAUAUACGGUCGGACAAAAGUCGUUGAGUGGGCCUGUGUAAAGUCAUUCCUUGGGCCAUCCUUAAGCUUUUGUUUCUUUCGAUUUUGGCCCUACGCUUUUGCAAUAGCCAAAUGGUGAAAAAGGAAAAAGAAAUUCCCACUAAUUGUUUGUCCAUUCUUUGAGUUAAUAUUAUAUAUACUGAGAGUAUAUAUAUAUUAUUAUGAUUAAAUGUAUGAUGCAUAUGAAAAAUUGAAAUUUAAAUUUAAAUUAAGAUUAUAUAUCAUAUAUUUAACGGUGAAAGUAUAUACCUUAUCAGUGUAUAGAAAAUUAAUUUGUUUUUCUAUUUCAUAAGAUUUUGAAAAGACUUUUUAAAAAGUCUUUUCAAAAUAAAUUUUCCAGUAGAGGAAUGAUGAGAUUUAAGAAGCGCGGAGGAGCCAGGGGCUAUACAUUUGAAUAUUGAAUUGUGAAAUUUAAUGUGAAAUUUUCAAGGUGAUGAAAAUGAUUACUUGCAUGCUGCUAAAAAUGGUUAGAUCAACUUAGAUUACCGUUUUUUUUUAAUCUUUUUCAUUAUGCUUGUAAAGUUUAAUUACUUUCCAUCUAGCUAUCAACUAGAUUUUAUUCAAGUAAUUGCUUGAUCACCUUAUGUUCCCUUCAUAAUGUUGUACUUAGCAAAAUUUGAAGUGAUGUAGAAGAUAAAAAUUGUCUAAACAAUAGCAUUUAGAAUAGAUGUUUCCAUAUUAUAGCAGUAUAAAUGUAAAUCUUCAAUUAAUCUAAAAUUCAUUGAGUAUAUAUAUUUUUAUAUUAAAGAUAGUCUAUAUUUAGUGCAGUAUAAAUAUUUAGUCUAUAUAUAGGUGUUUCCAUAUUAUAGCAGUAUAAAUGCAAAUCUUCAAUAAAUCUAAAAUUCAUUGAGUAUAUAUUUUUUUAUAUUAAAGAUAGUUUAUAUUUAGUGCAGGUGCAUUUCUCUAUCGAGGAAGGGUUAGAUGGGAUGACAAGAUAGGAAAAAUUGUAAAAUACGAAAGCUUGUGUUCAAAGCUCUCACUUAUAGAAAAUAAAAAUAAAAAGUGCAUUUCUCUACUCACACACUUAUAUUCCCAGAAUUAUUGGCAAUAUAUUUAAUGUAUCUCUUAUGUUAAGUUUUCCUUCAAAAAUGUCUGCUUCCAUCAUUACCAAAUGGUGUGGAAAAUACAAGGAUUAUCAGUUCAUAAUUAUCAUCACCAUAAAGAUUAUUCUUUACUAUUUCAUGCUAGCUGUUCUGAAAACAACAAGAAUGUCAUCAUCAAGAAGCUUGAAAAAAAUCAUAGCUUCACAUUUACCAACCCUUAAACAUUGUCUAGUACAACUAAUUUAUUCAUUUAAUGAUUCAUUAACUUUACACAUGUAAGCAUAAUGGUAUACAAGAAUUUUUCUUUUGUUCAUGAAUCUUCAUUUAAAUCAGCAUUUUAUUUUUGAUGGUAAAGUAUUGUCAUUAUCCAUAAACAUGCAAAAAAGUGCCACCAACAAGAAGUUAAAACAAUUCCUAGUGUCACAUUCACUACAUGUCUUCUUGUGUUAAAGAAAUGGAUUAGUUUAUACCUACUUUUAUAUACAAUUCUUCAUAACUUUAUGUUAGUGUAAUGCAAGUACUUUUUGUCUUUUUUAUAAAAUUAGUAGUCUUUUUUAUUCUGCAUCAUAUCUCUGUCCCUUAGAUGCUAAGCCUGUGAUGGACCUGGUUGACCAAGACCUCAAAAUAUAGGGCAUUAAAGGGUUGCUAAAUGGCUUCAGCAGUGACGUAAUUUUGUCACAGUGCACAAAAUUUGUGAAAGAGGACACUUCAAGAAACUUUUUUUGUCCUUAGUGUGAAUUAGUUUAAUAUCUGUGUGUGUCUGUAUUGGAAUUGGUAGUCUAACCUUGUUUGAAUUGCUAUUUUUGGAAUUUUUAUAAAAAAAAUAUACGAUAAUGAUUUGAUUUAUAUCAGAUAAAAAGAUGAUUAAGAAAUAUAUUUAAGAAAAAUGUAGAAGUUUUUUGGAGAAAAAUACUAUCCAAACAAGGCCUAACGAUUGUCACGGUCAGGUAAGGUUAUCAUUCCCUGGAAUUUAAGAAUUAAUGCACCAGCAACAGAUGUGGUAAAUGUUGCUCCCUUGUCCCACUUUGAUAGUCUUGAUUUUUUUUUCACACAAUUUAAGAAAAAAUAGUUAACUUUAUUGGAACAAUCAAUUUAGAUAGCUAUUUUCCUAAAAUACCCUCACAUUAAUUGGAGUAUAACUUUAUGGGAACUUGAAUUGAUGGUAAAAAAAGAAUCAACUCUCAUUAAAUGGGGUAGGUUUAUAGUAACAACAACUUACAUUGAAUAAGGGUAUUUUAGAAAAAUUAAAAUACAACUACAUUCUUCAAUUGGAAAGUGAACUACAAAUUAGGACAGACGAAAAAGGAAAACAGGACAAUCAAAGUGGGAUGGAGGGAGUAUUUGAUAAUUGACAGGUAUGUUAAUGACUUCUUGUAUUCUUGACCAAAAGAUCCAAAAAUAAAAAAUUCUCAAUAUCUUGUGGCCCUUUUUGACAAAAAAAAAAAUCUUGUGGCCCUAUGGUAUUUAAAUUUGUUCUUUUAUUGAAGAAAAGAAAUAAGAAAGAGGGCCAAAGGAAAAAAGAAAAAGAUAACAAGGGAAUUGGUUUUGGUUAUACACUUUGUUAAGAGGAAAUAAGCAAAAUUAUAAGUUAAUUAAUCAUGUGUUAGUCCCAAAUUCUGUUAAGUAGCUGAUCUAAAUUCUUGAUUUUGUUUAAAUUAAAUUAUUAGAAUUAGUUAAGCAAAAAAUUAUACUAGUAAUUUGCACAUGCAUAUGCCAUGUCAAAAAGACAGCUAUAUAAAGAGUGUGAUAAUAUCAAAUGGAUCCAUUUGUUUUGUCUUAAAGUUGUUAAACAUUCAAAGAUUUUUUUGUUCCAUUGUCUUAUUAUGAAUAUUUAAAAGCUUAAUAAAAUUCUUCAUGAAAAAAUUGUAUAAAGUGACUAUCGCUUAUUCAACUUAAUUAUAGCAAUAUAUCUAUCAGAAUUAGUACUAGAAGUAUUUUUGGAACGUAAUAAUUAUUUGAUUAGGUUUGACCCCUAAAAAUAACCACAAUAAUGAGAUUAACUUUGGUUCGUAAAAAUAACUACAGGUUUUUUGGAUAGCAAAUUAUUCCAAAAAAUAUUUCACUUGCAUUAUAAACACAUUUUUCAACCCAUCUUUUUACAUUCCCAGUCACUUUUUUAUCUCACAUACAUCAAAUUACAAAAAAGUGUUACAGUAAUUAUUUCAAAAAUAUUUCAAAUAAUACUCUAUCCAAACAAACCCACAAUUUUCAUAGAAAACAUCAAAACACGUUUGCUUCUCUUCAUUAUUAAAAAAAAAUAUAUAACAACAAAUGAAUCGUUUGCGAGAAAAACAAAAUACUAGAAGAUAAAACAGAAUAAAUAUACAUCGUUCUAUCCUAAAUUAGAGCUAAAUUCAUAUCUUUCCAUCUUAAAUCCGUUAAUUUCUAUGGUAUGAACAACUCAAGGUACAGGAUAGGGGCAAGAGUGUCUAGAAACAUACAGUUGCCACGUGCAAAUUUCCUAUUGGCAUUUUAUCAUGGACUAUUCCGCAGUCCACCUUUGUUGAAUUUGUUUCUAUUUUAUUUUUUCCUUCUUCUUUUUAUCUUUUUUUCCCUCUAUUUUCCUUCUGGAUAUUUUCUCAAAAGAAUUUUAUUACCUAAUAUAAAACAAAAAAAAAAGAUAAAUAAAGAAAUGGAAAUAGUGAGUGGUAACUGAUUGAUAAUACUCACAUGCUAUCCCUUCUUUCUUUCAUCACCUGUCUUUCUUACACUCUCACUCUCUCCCCGUCUCUCUCUCUCAAGGUCCUGAUACAUUCCACCAGUCUUCCACAGAACACACACACACACUCACACGCACACACACAGUCUCUCUCUCUCUCUCUCUCAAUACAUUUCCCAUUCUUCAUUCUAUCAACUGCCUUUCACACAGGACACAAAGUCUCAGUCUUUCUGUGUGUGUCUCUCUCUCCUCUGAAUUUUUCUACCAUUAUGGAUGUUCAAGAUCACAAAAAAACCCCUUCAUCAGGUUUGUUACUCUCUUUUCCGACAUGGGUUUUUGUCAUACUUGUCUAAAAGUCCUUGCUUUUUUUGAUACAUCGGUUGCUCUGUUUCUUGCUAAAGUCUUGCCGUGUAUUUCAAGAAUUUCUUUCUUUCUUCUUUUUGGUUUUACUUUCUUCAGUUGGGUUUUCUUGAUCCUGCUCUUUUAGUUUACUUGGUGAAGUAUAAUAUAUUUAUUUACACGCACAACACACACAAAUUUGUGUAAUUUUGCUGCCUUUACUUGUGUAUUUUACUUUUCUUGCUGUCUGAGUGAUGAUUUUGUUCUUUUCUUGAAAUGCUGAAACAUGUUUUUCCUUGCUUGUUUUCACUAGUAGUAUAAUUAUGUUCUGGUUAGUGUGAAAAAAGGGUUUUAUCAUAUGAUAAUAUUAAAGUUUUCUACAUUUCUUGAUGAUUAAUUAUUGCAGCAGGAGGGCACGAGGGGCAUGGGGUUCAUUUGUGCCACAAGUGUGGUUGGCCUUUCCCAAAUCCACAUCCCAGUGCCAAACAUAGAAGAGCCCACAAAAGGGUUUGUGGAAAGGUUGAAGGUUAUAAACUAGUUGACUCAGAAAUUGACCAUGUAUCUGAUGAUGACCAUCUUUCUGAUGACGAUAUUGUGAAAACCCCAAGUAAGAAUUAUAUUGAUAUAUUCUUUACACAGAAUUUAGUUUGAUAUUCUAGUAAAUGUAUUAUUUCUUUUUUUUUUUUGGUAUUAUUGUUAUUUUUGGCUUAGCGCUAUUUUAGUGUUUUGAGAAUAAUACUUUUUAAGGUCCCAAGAUGGAGAAACGAAGUGUGAAGGAGGUUGGGAGUGGUGCAGGUAUUGGUCUGAAGUCAAGUAAAUCAGAAGAUGAUGUGUUUUCAGAUGCAGUCACGGAAUUUUCGGAUAGUGGGAUUAGUCCAAGCAUAGAAGAGCGCCUGGAGAGUGUUAGAGAAGUUGAUAACACUGUGGGAGCAGAACUGGUGCAUGAGCUAAAUGAUAGCCAAAAAUCUGAGGAUUGUCGAGCUGAUGGUAAGCAGUUAAUUAGACUGGUACCUUGUUUUCCUUUUUUUCUCUUUUUUUGUUUCUCUUGUUUGAACUGUAUCUGCUUUCUUGCAUGAGUACCUGAUGCAUUUAAUGACUGUUUCGAUAUAAACAGUUAGUAAUUAAACUUGUGCUUCAAAUCUACUAGAAAAUAGUUGGAUAGCUGCUACAGUUCACUGAUUAAUUUGGUAAUGUCUCAAACAUCGCUCUUAUGAUUGUUCAAGCAUUAAACAUGUAAAUACAUCUAUGGUAAUUUCAUUGUUCUGUUUUAUUGCAUUCCAAUUUCAUAUUGUUGCAAGUUAAUAAAGUUUACUAUAGGAGUGAAAAUGAAGGCCUUUCUCCGACUCCUUAAUGGUGUGCUUUCUUUUAAAUGAAGAACCCUCUUUUCCCCCAGCUGCUGAAGGGGUGUUGCAUGGCGUCAGGAAGGAUGUUACAGGCUUUAAAGUCACUUUCUGAACACAUCAUGUACUUGUCAUUGUAAUGCUAACAAAGAGUCCAAUGUAAAAUGUAUCUUGUGCUACAGAGGAGUUAAUGCAGUUGCAGAUCAGGCACUUGAGAUUUUUUACUGAUUGAAACUGAAAUCUGUUUUUUCAUGGAGAUGUAGGUCUAGAAUUAGUGGUAAAAUUGAUAUAUGCCUUUCCUUUUGACGUUUGCCUGCCUUAGUUAUAUUUCUGGGAACCAUAAGUGGAAAAGGAGAUGGUCCAUUAGACAUGAAAAGCCAAUUAAAAAUUCCUUGAAUUUGGUUUUGGAAGUUGUAUCAUAGUGCUCCCGUUACUCUGUUCCAUAUAUUUGGUGGACAUGGUUAAUUUCUCGCUUUAUAUGCUUCUGUUGAUUCAGAGAAUUAAUAAACUGAAAUUAAUGAGCAAAAUUGGUCUUUUUUUUUUUUUUCCCUUUUUUCCCCGAAUUGUGGUUUUUGUAUGAACAUAAAUAAUAAGAAAGCAUGCCAGAGCAUUUUAUUAAUUUUUUUUGAGUGUUCAGACUUAUCACUGGAAAUUUAGCAUUAAAUGUUGGCAUGAUGGAGCAAUCUGCAUAGGGUGCAUAAAAGAAUGCCAUUUUGACUUGUCUGUGCAAGGCUCUAUUCAAGUAUAGAAAUAGAAUUUGUUUUCUCAAAUCAAUAUAAUAUCUAUAUGGUACCUAUGAGGAAAACAGAAAACAGAAUAUUGCAGUGAUUGAGUUCCCGGACAAGCAAAUUUCAUCUUUUAUCUAUUACUUACUCUGCUUUUCUAAAUAGGUUCCAUAUUUCUCGUAAAUAGGUUCCAUAGCUUUGACAUUUUAACAUUUCAAAUGUCUAGUCAUCUUUUUGUGUUUUGACAUAUAUUUUAAAACAAUGGAAUGCAAGAUAUCAAACAUGUCUAAGUAGUCCAAUACAGAAUUUCUCUUCAACAUAAGACUGAAAAAGUUGGAACGUUCUUAAACACAACGAUUAUUCAGUGUUUCUUUUAAUCCAGGUAUCUAAGUAAUCAUGUCACAAAGGUCAAUCCAUGUGCGAACCCAUUUGUUGAUGUAGCAUGUUAUGGUUGUGCCUUACUGGGUUUCACAUAUCUGGUCUGAACCUGAUCCAACUAGUGUUAUUCUUGGUCGUCUUCAGUUAUCAUGUCCCUGACUGAAAUUUCACCUUUAUUGUAAGGUUCGAGAUUUUUAAACAGAAAUCUGCGUCUUAUAUUUGUCAGUACAUAUAGAAUGUGUAGUUGUAAACAUGUAACAUCUUAUUUCUUUAUUGACCUCUCUGAAACUCUUGGAAACCAGAGAUGUUUGCAUUCGUAUGUUCUGUUGUUCUCUUGCUUGAAUUCUUCUGGAAAUACAUGUUCUCUCCUGUUGUUCUCCUGUUGCAUUUGUAUGUUAGUUUGAAUACAUGUCAUCUCCUGUUGCUAUCAAAUACAGCCUUAAGCUAACUUUUAAUUCUUGGUACAGAUGAGGUCAAUUUUGUGGGUAUUAUCUUGUGCUCUUGACUUCAUUGCCUCCUAGAUCCCCUUAUCAAUUUAAAAUUACUAUGUGGCAUAUUCUCUGGCUGCAGAACUUUCUACAUUAAUAUGUUUUUGCACUGUAGAUACAACCAAACAACUGGAUGAUUUGACAACAGGUAGGGAAAUCUCCAAUGCUGAGGUUGUUGAAAGUGUAAUUAACCAGUCAGAGAAUACUAAGCCUGCAAGUGAUAACAGAGCUGAAGAAGUUUCUUUUGGAGUUGAACAAACAGAUGGUCUUCAGAUCAAUUCUUCUCCUAGUGUAUUUGAGACUAUUUCAGAGGACUUAGUUGCAAAUGCUGAGAGUGGCAAACAGAAAGAGAUCGGUUCUUCUAAAUCGGAAACCAAUAUACAAGUGAAAGAAAGUGUUAAUGAGGUUGAAUCCUCCACAGAAUCUGUAGUCCUUCUUAGUAAGUCUCCAGAUGAAGCAUCUCUAAGUAAAUCUAAGUUAGAUGUUGCAGAAGGAAGUUCUGGUUGUGUGGUAGUGGAAUCAAAGGAACACGAAGCAGACAGAAAAGUUUCAGAUACUGUGACCAUGGAACCUAAGUUGCAUGAGGCCAAUGGAAGUAUAUCACAUGCUGCAGCAGUCAAAGAAAUUGUUGAACAGGAGAAAGAGCCGAGUAACAAGUCGGAAGCUAGGAUGACAAGUGUUUCCACCGUAAAUGAAAUUAUUGAACAGGAGAAAGGGUUGUCUAAUGUGUUACAGGCUGAGAUGACCAAAGUUGAUCUCCCCUCUCAAACUGAGCCUCAUAAAUGCGCUGAUACUUCAGUUACUACUCAAGCUGAAGCUGAUUCUGAUACAAUACGAGUUGGUCAUGAUGAGUUGGCUAAGGUUUGUGAUUUGAAGGAAGGAGGGGAUAAAGAGGUGCAUGUAGUAUCAGUUGCUGAAACUUUACCUGCGGUAGAAAAUCCUGAGAUCAUGAUUGGAGAUUUUAAAGACUACAAAGUUUUAAGAUCCAGUUUUCCUGUGGAUCUAGGGGAUGCUGAAGUUACUAGGUCUGGGGAAGAUGAUAACAAAGUCAACCUGCCUGAGUCUGUCCCGAGUCCCAGUUCAAGCGUCCCUGUUGGAAGGUUGCACACCUCUAAUUUAAAUUCUAGUUGUUCAGAAGCUAGUCUUGAGAAAGAAGGCCUUUUAACACCUGUUCAAGGGGAAGUUGAUACUUCUGGGUUAAGGGGGAUCAGUGAAGAAGGCUCUGGAAGUAAUGGCCUGGAAGGUUCUUCAGUGAAUUCUGGUUUUGAAAAACAGGUUAUUGAAGGAUGUCAACCUAAACCGACUGAUAAAGAAUCAUCGCAAGAUGGAGUUCCAGCACCAAGCUCAAUUGAACAUUCUGAUGUGAUGCGUGCUGUGUCGUCCAUUGAUGAAGAAUUCAGCAGUCAAACAACCAAAUUAAGUAACUUUGAAACUGCUGAUGAUAAUGUAAACUUGAAAAGUGAUCAUGUGAGGUCAGAAAAUGGAACAGAUCACCUGUUGGACGAAGAUAAUAUUUCGAGUUCUAAAAAAUGCACAAUUGAAGUUGAUGUGGAAACCUCACAAGGAACUGAAACAGGUAGGAGCACUGAAGUACAAAGGUCUGAAGGUGUAUUUGUUGUGGAUCCUGAUUUAAUUCCUGAAGGCCAUAGUGUAGCAUCAGGUGAACAAUCAGAAAAUCCUAAGGAGAUGGAAACACAAAUUUCCAGUUCAGAUUCUCAAUUAAAACCUGAAGAUCAUGGUGGAGCAUCUGACAAAAAAUCAGAAGAUUAUAAGGAGGCAGCAGGUUUGCCUGUAGCUUCUACGGUCUCAAGCCAAAGUUCUGCUACUGUUGAAGACAAAAUUACCAAUGAUGCAGUCACUUCUGAAAUAGGUAAGAGCACUGAAGUACAAAGGUCUGAAGAUGUAUUUGUCGUGGAUCCUGAUUUAAGUCCUGACGGCCACAGUGUAGCAUCAGGUGAACAAUCAGAAAAUCCUGAGGAGAUGGAAACACAAAGUUCCAGUUCAGUUUCUCAAUUAAAACCUGAAGAUCAUGGUGGAGCAUAUGACAAAAAAUUAGAAGAUUAUAAGGAGGCGGCGGCUUUACCUGUAGCUUCCACAAUAUCAAGCCAAAGUUCUGCUACUGUUGAAGACAAAAUUACCAAUGAUGCAGUCAUUUCUCAGCCCUUGCUAGAUGGAGACAAUGGCAAGCUCACAAAAGAAAGUGUACACGUUUCUGCGGUUGAUGACUCCGUUGUUUCAAGCAGCCGAACUGAGAGUUUGGAUGGGAACUGGGGAUCAGUAUCAGGUGCAAUUCCCUUGCGAUAACAAAAUAAUCAUUUAAUUGCAAUCUCUGUUCUAGUUGGUGCCACAUGGCUUUUUGUUUUUGAUUUUUAGCUUAAUUGUUAAGUUUCCGUUUAUUUCACUUGCAAAGUGCAUCGAUAUUGAGUAAAUAUGUUAACAUGAGUGCAAGUAUCAGAAUGGCAUCCAUGUAUAUGUGUCGAGCAUGCAGAGGCUUGGUAGUCAAUUCCUGAAGUCGGAAGUGUGUAGUUCAUGGUAUAUGUGCCUGGCUCUUCCUCUCAUGCUGUUUGGAAUGUUGACCCUCAUUAUGAUGCUUAGCAAGAUUGCAUACGUUUUUCAUGUUUUGUUUUUGCUGAUUAAACAAAAGCUUACUUCUUGGUGGAUGAAACAGUACUUUCUACCCAGUCAGAUGGGGCAGCUCUUGCGGAUGCUGAAACACUAUCUUCAGCUGGUAAUCAGGGACCAGAGAAAUCUGGGGUCACGUCAUUAAAGCUGCAAACUCCGUCUCAGGAUAGCCAUCCUGACAAGUCAGAUGCUUUUGAGCCUCCAUCUUUCAUGACAUUGGUUGAAUCUCGGGUCGAGGAUGACAAGAAAGUUGUGGCCACAGAAACACAUAAUAUCCAGAAGACUGAACAGCCAAAUUCUGAAGCUUUACAGGCUGGCUGGUUUCCAUCUCUAACCAAUGUCGUUAAUGAAUCAGAAGGCAGAAAGAAAAAUGAAGAGAUUAUUGCCAAGGUAACAAACUGGAAUGCAGGGAAGCAGCACAGUCCGUUGAAAAAUCUUCUGAACGAAGCUCAAGCUGAAACAAAGGUAAAAUCAGCUGACCAGAAACAAGUUCCUUCUGUGAAUCAGGGCAACGAGACUGUCUCGAAGAACAAUGGUGCUGCAGUGACUACUGUUGGCUCAAUUAUGGGAUCAGAAACGCCAGUUGACAAUGCUGCCAAGAGGGACAUGGAGAAGGAAUGGAAUUCCCCAGCAAGAUACCCAGUUGAGAUCAAGAAAGAAAAAAAGAAGGGAAAACCAUAUUGGGUACCAUUUGUGUGCUGCACUUCCAUACACCAAGACGUGUAAACCUUUGGUCUCGCGUUGACCCCAAGACAUCAUCUUGGAGGCACUUCGAUCAUUUUCUUUUUUCGAUCACUUUGAACAUGAAAUCCUUUGUACCUAUUGACUAAACUACGGGAUUACUGCUUUAGCAUAAAACUGGCUCUUGUAGAAUCUAGAUAAGGUGUCUCUUGUUACGAACAUAUAUUGCUAUCAGCUGCUUUUGUGUGUGUGUAUAUAGCUAUAGCAUUCCUGUGUUUGAAAGCAUAGGUGAGUUACACGAUAAUUUCCUGAAAGCUCUUUGACUCCUUUAAGUUCAAUUCCCCUAAAUUCGAUGCUUAUUUUGUCAAUGUUAUGGUGGAGUUUAAUUAGUCUGAUCUGGAUUUUGCCAGCAUCUUAGGAAUGCUGAGAGAUUGAGAUGCAAAUUAAAUCAUUCUUACCUCCCCUUUGCCUCCAUAUGCUGUACAAGAAAGUGCUAACUGAUAAAUAAGCAGACGUUACUUGGGGUGACUUAGCCUCCUGGCAGAUGAUUGGGGAUGAUUUGACAGAACUUAAUCAAGCCUAAAUCUUAAAUAAGCAAGCAAGAGAUGCAGUUUCUUAGCAUCCUCCUCCGUUUAUAGUGCACAUUAAUCCUAGUGUUUUUAAAUCUACUAUAUUACUAUACACUAUAGAAACAAAACAAAAAUGCAAUCACUACAAGAAAAUGUCUCAAUCGUGACAUAAAUGAUUGGAUUAAGGCAUGAAUAAGCUACCACAUAAGUACAUUUGCGUGUCUAAUGAGACAUCAGAUAAUUCUCCAAUUUGGCAUAUACAAGUUAUCUGCUGUCCCAAUAUUACAUUUAAGGGAAAUUCUGCAAUGUGGUAUACCAUGUUUGUGGAACCAACUACUCGAGUAGUUGGUCACCAGAGAAAGUUUUAAAGCUCUUCUUGAUGCAGAUCAAGGAAUUGACCUGCAUUCACGUCCAAGAUUUUUUGAAAAUUUCACUUGCACCUGUCUGGUUUGAUGGUGGUUCAGUUCUCUCCGAUUUUUCCAUUGAUCCCCUUGGGUCCACCUCUUCCCUUUAGUGUAGAGUAGGAGUAGGUGUAGAAUAUAAUUUUUCAUGUCCGAAAAAAAAAGAAAAAAAAGUAUACCACGUUUGUGAUGCCGGUAGAAACAAGAGUGUAAAAAAAAAAAAAGAAAAAAAAUCCUGAGAUACUAUAAAUAUGGUAUGCCACAUGGUAGAUGAUCCCUUUCAUUUAAUCUCUCAAUUGUAAAUUCUUGUGCCCAAAUUCUGAUAUAUUCUGGAGAUGUCGCAUAAUGCCUUCAAAUUAAUUGGUUUGAUCAUCAUAUCUUUACCUACACUUGAUAUAGAGCAUUGCCAUAAUGGCUUUCUAAUUUUUAUGGGAACAUAGGAACUGCUACAAGUUUGGUUGCAGAAUCUGAGUAUAUCUACUGAAUAGACAGUUUGAAGUACCUUCUCAUAUGGGCGUAUAAUUGCAGGUAUCAUUGCAAGACUUUCAUUUAAAAGGUUGAGGUCUUAUCCUGACAUACAUAGAAGGAAAUAAGGCCUCUUUAGUUCCAUUACUCUCUAAUCGUAUAAAUUGAUAGAAUUUCGAUAUAAAUUGACACAAUAAACAUGAGUUAUAAUUGAAUUGGUGUAAAUUCACGAUUAUACAAAAAAUAUCUUAGUUUAUAUCGAAAUUAUAUCAAUUUAUACAAUUGAACGGAAUCUCAACUGAAAAGGCUCAAAAAAAUAUUUGUGUGAUACUGUUCUAAUUCGUCCUUAACCCUUUUGUAAUCAACGUUUAGCAGGGUCAGGACCACUUUCUUUUGUUUUUAGAAAUUUAUUAGAAGUUUGGUUAACAAAUCACUUGUAAAUAUACCAUUACUUUCUCCUAUUUCUACCCAGAAAAAAAAAAUUCAUUGCCAUAUUUACAUACCAUCUCCACUUCCCGCUUACAAUGGCAGAGUCCUAUUGAGAGUAUUAUUCCCAGCCAAAUGACUUGGGCGCCACCUACUACUUACCAUCAACUCCAUAAGCCCUUCACAGCUUUCUUGAGCCCCUGCAAAACCCCAGCCUUGCACCUCCUAAUUUCUUGUUCCUCUACUGAAUCUUGUAACCGGGAUAAUAAGGGCCAUUUUCACUCUCCAUCCCGUUCACAACAGUCAUUCCAGAAAAUCAAAAAGAAUCAUUCUUUACAGCCAAAACGGUUACACCAGAGGCAUAGAGGAGAUUCUUUUGUUGAAUGGGUUAAAAAGAAAAAGCAGUCUGACCCAACUGAUAUUCUUCAGCAAGAUGGAGAUUGGAGCAAAGAACAAUUCUGGGAUUUCAUCAGAUUCCUUAGAGAAAGUUCAAGGACCAGUGAGAUUCUUCAGGUACUACCUCUCCUAUCUGUUGGAGUCAUCCAAAUCUCUUUAUUAAACUUUGGUUAAAUGGUCUUUGGGUUUGCUGAUACUUUGUGGGUAUUGGCUCUUGGGAAUUUGCUGGGAUAAGUUCUUUGGUUGUUGUGUGAAAAGCUCAGUUUGAUUGUGGUUUAUUUUUUCCCCAGUGAAAAAAUAUGGUUGAUUUUUUUGCCUUUUUUGGGGUGGUUUGGGGCGGUUGGGGGGGUGCUGUUGCUGUCUUUAUUUUCAUUGUCCAUCAUGCAUAAGUGGUUUCUGAAGUUAGAAAAUAGAAGACAGAGUUGAUAUGAAGGACGUAUAGUUGUCAUUUAUGUCUUUGUAUAUUAUAAAUAUGUUGUAGGCGUUUGACCUGUGGAAGGACGUGGAAAAAUCCAGAAUUAAUGAGGAGAACUAUGUGAAGAUUAUAAGCUUAUUGUUUGAGGAUGGACUGACAGAUGCAGCGAUAUUGGCGCUCAAACAAAUGGAGAGCCAUGGAAUUAGGCCUUCUCUGGAAAUGUACAAUGUAGUGAUUCAUGGGUUUGCAAGAGCAGGACGGUUUGAGGAUGCUGUGUUUUAUCUCGAGGAGAUGAUGAACGCUGGCUUAAAGCCUGAUACAGAAACCUAUGAUGGGCUUAUUCAAUCCUAUGGGAAGUAUGGAAUGUAUGAUGAGAUGGGUAGAUGCCUGAGAGAGAUGGAAUCCGGUGGGUGUUUACCUGAUUAUGUAACUUACAACUUGCUGAUUCGAGAGUUUGCAAAAGCUGGAUUGCUCAACAAGAUGGAAAGCACUUAUAGUGCUCUUCUUGCAAAAAGAAUGGAUCUGCAGAACUCUACUUUAGUUGCAAUGCUGGAAGCAUAUGCCAACUUUGGAAUUUUGGACAAGAUGGAAAAGGUUUUCAGAAGAGUUUUAAACUCAAAAGCUUAUCUAAAGGAUGAUUUGAUUCGUAGAUUAGCCAGAGUCUAUAUUGAGAAACUUAUGUUUUCCAGAUUAGAGGACUUGGGACUUGAUUUAUCUUCUAGAACUGGCAGCACUGAUCUUGUGUGGUGUUUGCGCCUCCUUUCUCAUGCUUGUACUUUGAGCAAAAAAGGAAUGUAUUUCAUUAUUCAGGAGAUGGAAUCCAGUGAAGUGCCAUGGAAUGUAACAACUGCUAAUAUAAUGGCAUUAGCCUAUUUGAAGAUGAAGGACUUUACGCACUUGGAAAUUUUACUCUCUGAAUUACCAUCUCGAUAUGUAAAACCGGACAUUGUUACUGUUGGAGUACUUUUUGAUGCCAUCAUUUCUGGGUUUCGGGGCAAUCCAGUAAAAAGAUUAUGGACAAAAACAGGAUUUUUUGAUGAUACUGUUGAAAUGAACACAGAUGCUCUUGUUCUGAUUGCAUUUGGAAAGGGGAAGUUCCUGAAAGAUUUUGAAGAGAUGUUCCCCUUAUUUGAGGCCAAAACUAGAAAUGGGAUGUGGACUUACCGCCAUCUCAUAGAUUCUGUCAAGACUCGGUUUGUGGGUGGUUGAACAAUUUAAGCUAAAGGAAUUUGAAGUAUAAUGAGAGCCUUGAUGAAAUGGAGCAUAUUUGUUGUCAUGUUGAUGGACAUCUUGAAGGACUCUCUGUAAAGUAGAUAAGAAGAGAGGAUCAGAGUUACACUUGACAUAUGGGUGGUUAAACAAAUUGAAGCUUAGAUCAAAUCUAUAUACGAAAUGCAAGAAAGUUGUUGGCAUCUUGAUGGGUUCUCUACAUGGUACAUAGGAACUGUAUUAGAGAACAUGAAUUUUGGGCCAUCGGAAACUUGUGAUAGUCAAAGAUUCUGCUUUAAAUUCAUUUGCCUAACCUCCAAAGACAGCAUUCUAGUUGCAUCUGUAACUCAAGGACAUCGAUAUUUUUUUGUUUGAACUGAGUGUCAAAUGAUAAAUAUUAAGAUGCAUUCUCAGAUGAACUUGAUAAACUGAGUGAAUUGUUUGUUUUCUGCUCGCUGUCUUGAAAUACAAGGUUCUUCAAUCGCAUGGAGGCUGCCAACAUUUAUAGUUUCUAUUUACGUGCUUCUGGUAUUGAAGAAGAGACUGCAGAUAAAUCACCCUUAGCAAUAAAGAUGAUAAGAGUAUACUGACAAAGCUUCCAUGUCUUUCAGAAUACAGAAGCUGCAUUGGAAUUUCUUACAGGAAGUCUUAGUGGGAAGAGGGUGGGCCAGGUAAGGGGGUUAGUUAAGAAAGAAAUGUUGAUUAGCGGAAAGGUUUGAAUCGGGGGAAGGUUUUGCCUUGAAGAUCCUUCAAUAUGUGUCAUCUUCUUCAGCUGUUUAUUCUUGGUUUCCAGACCAUAGGUUGUGAUGGUAAGGAGCUUCCCCUCGGUUAUAGCUACACGAGUUCCCUGGAAAUUCCAAGGUGAAACAUGAAUUUGUAUGUUUUAUAAACUUUCUCAAAAUCUUUCUUAGUGUAGGUUCAACAAGUCCUUAUGAUUUCAAUGGAUAAAGUCAAAUAAAAAGGAAUAGAAUGGAAAAUACGAUGAGCAUAUGCCCUUUUCCCCUCAUCUUGGCUUGUAAAUUAUUUCUGGUCUUGGUGUGUGUUCUUUAGGUUCAAAAUUUUCUGCUGUAGAGUACCGAAAGAUCAUAGUCUUGGUGCACAUUGUCUUUUCCUUCCAAUUUCCACUGAGAAAAUUGAUUGCCAGUCCAAACUGGAUGCACUCUUGGUGAUCUAGUGGAGUAAAUACUAGCCAAGAAUAGAAGACAAAAUGGAAGCAUGAUAACUUUUUCCUCUUACGUUUUACAUACAAUUGGCAUGAUGCAGGCAUCUAUAUUUGUAUAAGCAGCAUAUAACUUCAUUACAAACAAAAAUAUAGACCAUGCCAUCACGGCAUUGGGUACCUUUUCCUAGUUACAUGGCAGAUGCCCUUCAGAUGCAGACUGAAUUUCUUCAAUUUAGAUUCAGUCCUCAUCCAUUAGACUCUUUGAGAAUGAAUCUAUUUCUGCCAGUAGUUCCUCAUUUGUACAUUGUGAUCUCCCUAGGCGAUCAUGAGAAGAUAGAGAUGACAUAAGGUUAAUGAGGAUCUCACAAACUUUCCCUGAACCAUAAGAAAGUCCGCUUUCUUUCUCCUUUUGCACCUCACUGGUGUCAUUUUGAACUUCAUCCACAUAUAAAUGUUUCCUGCAAGCCUGCAAGGUGAAUGUGAAUAUAAGUUUCUACUGGGAGCUCGCGGAAGAAUGCUUCUGCAAGGACGACCACAAAGAGCUGAAAAGAAUAUUGGCAUGUCAAACAGAUAUAUUAAUUUCUGCUGGGGUAUUUCUUUCAGUUGUGAACAUUUAUGCCUUGAGAUUUAGUGAUAUCUUAUGAAAGGAAAAGGAAACUAGAAAUAAAGGUCCGCAAACGUCACCUGGAAGACCCGAUUUAGGCUGGCAAUAUGUUCAGCCUUUAGAUACCCAGAAUUUAGAAGCUCCCGAAACAAAAGAACAAGUUCCCUGCUCACAUUACUUCUUGUAAUGUUUUGAACAAUUGCAGUUAAAGAAGAAUCAUCUAACACGGAAGCCAUCCAGUGGGGAGUUUCUUUUGAUUUUAGCAAAGCAAUAGCAACAUUAACUGCAGGCUUGUGAUGGAUCAUGAAAGAUGUUGAUCCGAUGCGUGGAACUGCCAAAAACAUUACUAGUUCCUCUACUAUCAUCCUGCACCAGAUGUUACUUUCUGCAGCUAAUUCCUUCCCAUCCAGCACUUUCCAAUCAAUAAACAUCGACAGACAACGGGAACAAUUAAGAGAGGUUCUGACAUCACUCGAAAAAAUCAGGCCUUCUAAAAUAGCCAUUAUGGACAAUAGAUAGCCACUUCUAAUGUUUAACCCAUCUGGCUCUCUACUUCCUUGAUCUGAUAUUUUGUUUAAUAGCUCCAGCAAGCAAUAUGAAGAAACGAGUUUUAUUGCGGGAGAGCCAAAAUGCAACAACUUGCAGAAAUCGCGACAAUGCAAACUAAUGUAGGCUAUUGGCUGCUUCUCAUUGCCAUCCUUGAGUAGAUUAUGCAAUUCUGUUAUCCCUGGUAGAACAGCUGAUAGACUAAGAAAGAACAGAAUUACUUUCAUAAAGAUGAAUCAAUAUGCAUCUUAAAAAAUAGAAAAGAAGUAAUUUACCUUCUUAAAGAGAAGAAUAUCAGUAAAAGCAAACAAAUAAGAGCUUCUCCAUUUUUUGUUUCUUCUCCUUUUGAACAAGCUUCAGCAAUAGCUUGUUUUAUUAUUGAGGCUAAAGGAGUACUCAGAAGUAUGAGUUUGGAAGUUUCAAUCAGCACUUGAUUUGUAGAGUGGUGCAAUACCAAUGCAAAAAUGCUGAUCACCAUAAUACUUUCUUGGGUCCAACAAUCUGUUUUUCUUGUACCUGUCAAGUAAUUCAUCAACUACAAAGUACGAAAAGGACCAAAUUAAUAGUAGGCAACCAGAAGAAAAUGCAAAGAAGUAAAUUUCAACUGAUUUUACCUUAAUGGAAAUAGCAACCCAAGUUUCAUCAUCAGAAAGUGACUCAGAUUGCACUGACCGUAAAAUUAAAAUAACUAGAUUGGAGAUGUCGAUAAAUAAGUCCGGAAGAGAUGAGUAUCUUGAGUGGCUAUAAAAAUUACGGAUUGGACUGGCUAUCCCAUGCACGCAUAACAGAUCUGAAGUAGCUGGCAUCACUUUAAUUAUUUCUGCAAUUGUAUGAACUACUGAUAUGAUGUCAUCUUCUUGGUCAUCCUGUUCUAUGAGCUCUCCAAGUAAACACACAAAAUGCAUUGAUCCAAAAUUAUGUCCCGACAUUAUCAACUCUGCAAUUGAUCUUACAUCUAAGUUCAGCUUAUUUUUGCCAAAGGCAAUAAUACUGCUUCCUCCAGAACUGUUGCUUCUACAAAAAUUCAGCAUCUGUUCUGACAGUAUCUUAAAGAUUUUAUCUUGUUGGAACAACCAUUUGAGAGAAGUAAAAUGAAACUUUAUUGAAAGUAAAUUCCAAUCCUCAUCAGUCAAUAGAUGGAACAGGAUUCUUUCUGCUUCUGGGCUAUAAGGGACUUGGUAACUCAUCUUGGCAAGACCUCUAUAUAGCCCAUAAAGAUUCACAAGUAACUCAAUUGUCAGUGAAGGAGAAGCUCCACACAAGAGAUCACUGCCAUUAAGCAAAAUAUACUGCUCUAAAGAAGCCAGCGCCAUCUUAUCAUCUGCAAGCCUAGGAAUAAGCAACGAACAAAAAAGCACAAAAUUCAUGUGAGACAAAUGCAAAAUAAACAUUUAUGGAGCAAUAGUGUGAGAAAUGGUCAGCAAAUCAAUUACCUAUCAUCAUAAAGAGAGCUUACAUAUAGUAUUAGAAGUACUGCAGAUUGACAAGAAAAUAGAUGCAUAUUGUGAGAGCUCUUCUGCCCCAGAAGGAACAGCAAAUCUAUAGGGUCAGAUGGUAGGUGGAAUGCAGCACCUCGUAUUGGCUGUCCUGCAUCUUCACCUAGGAGCAGAUCCGCUAUUAAACUGAAAAUCAGAUACACCUUCAUUUUUAAAUUUUCAGAAGGAAAUGACCCUAAACAUCCUAAUAGGACACUAAACCAGGAUGAAGAGACCAUAAUCUCAGCCAAUUUCUUGAUUUCAGUGUCAGUAUCCUGAAUCAUUAUGGAUUCAAAGGUUUCAAUCACCCCCAGGAUAAUAUCUUCCUCUUCUAUGUCAUUGAUGGUUGUCAUGAACCAUGGAAGUAUAUCUUUUUGACAUACGUAAAUGAUUCCACGCCUCAGACCCAAGUUAAUUGGUUCACUACUAUUUUCUGCAUGGCUAUAUGCAUAUGUUUCUUUCAACAGGUAAAGGGAGUGCAAAAGUUGAUCAGGGUGCUUAUCAUAGUUACCCAAACAAGACAACACAGCGUCUCUUGAUGCAUCAUGAAGUGAGCUUAAACUUAAAGCCCCACAGGAAGAUGAAUUUUUCAUUAGAGUAACUAACAAUGUGCAGGCCAGAUUGAAUGUCUCUGGAAGAAUGCCUGACUCCCCGCCUGUAUUUUUCUUAAGCAUCCCUGUCAUAAUAGUGCUUAGUUCUUCAACAUCAGAUCUGGAAACUAUUCCUGGACACUCUAGCACACAGUUCCCUACAAGCUUCAGCAACUGAGUUUGGGCAGGAUGAAAAGGAACUUUGGCUACAUGAUGCAGAACAGGAAUCAGGGUUGCAAACCCAAUGGCAAGCCUUUGUCUAAAUGCCUGCUCAGCUGUUGAUAGUACAUCAAGAACCUGAAUGCAAGAGUUUACCAGUGGAUCCUUGCAUCCUAGAAGAGUAGAGGAAAAGUUUUCAGCAGAUAAAAUAUACACAUCAGUUAGUGGUGGAUAAAAUAAAUGAAAUGCCAACACAUUAUUAGCUUGACUUUAUUAUAAGCUAAGCUGCACUUAAAUGCCAAAACAGUGACAUGAUUACAGGACAGGACUCAAGACAUAGAACUAUUAAGUACAUCAUGCUCUCCAGCUUUUUCCUAGUGCUUAUGUGCAAUAUCAAAUUUGCAAUUUUCAUUCCUACUUCUGCGACAGACUAACACAUUGGAUUGGCAAAAGUAUCACAGUUUUCCUAAUGAAGCUAACCUGAUAAUCUCAGUAUUUCAAGUACAUAAUCUGCAAUGUUCUCCUCUACCAUUACUGUGAUUUCUUCUUCAGUGCCACCUUCACAUGCAAGCACCAAAAAAAUCAAAUCCAAUGUGGCAACUUGAACUUGGCAAUCUGAGGAAAGCAGGGGACCUUUGACAGCCUCAGCAAACAAGCUAAUGAGAGGACGGCCAUCUGUGGUCUGCUCUGAUAUUUGCAUCAGAUUCUCUGCUUCAAUAGAAUCCUUUACUUCAUUUCUACAUGUAUUCUCAAACCAUCCUCUAAGAGCAAACACUGUCAAAAGUGCUACAAGGCAAAACAGGAAAUAAUUAGGUCAGAUCAAUCCAGAAGUAAAUCUUUGUUUGCAUAAACACCUGGUAGUAUACGAGUCGCUAUUGAUCUAAUUGUGUGUAUUGAUGCAGUAAACAAGCAAUUGAUUCGUAUGGUUUAGCCCAAUUCUAAAGAGCUUAGUGUUUUAAGCAUCAUAGCACGAAGGACUUGGAAUCAUAUUUUGAAUUUGAGAUCUUAGUGAUUUGCACCCAAUAUGGAUCAUUUGUUUUCACAACUUGAUACCCAAAGAUAGAACUAGUGUACCAAAGUCAUCCUGACUUAUAAUAGCUUCCACAACAAUAUGUCCUGCAACAAUUAAUGCUUGACCCAAGUUGUUUCCAAAAUUACAUGAUGCAGUUCAAACUUGACAAAAUUAUAUUCUUGGUGUCUGGGUUCAGACUGUAAAUCUUAUUCAUGUGGAACAAUCAUUAUAACAUAGUUCCUUUAAAAACUAGAAAAGCAUAUCAAAAUAGUACAUAGGUGGAAGAUCUUUACAGUGCUUGCCAUUUUGGUCAAGGUAAGGCUGCAUAGGCAUAUGUCAUUGUUCUCAGUAGCAUUCUGAAUUUAGAGACUAAAACUAGAAUCUUUAUUCACCCAAUAUAAACCCUCUAUAAAAAUCUUUCCUGCAACCUGGUAAUCCAGUAUUGUCUGCAUCAAGGAAUAUCUGCCUCCUAAAGGCAGCUGCUAUCUGUAUGAUGAAUUUGACUCAGGUCAAUGCAUGCCAACUCCACACUAAGGUUACAGUAGGAAGCAUGGAAAUUACGGAGAAAAAGAGAGAAGAGCAUGCUAAAGUCAGUUAUAGCCUCAUUUCAAACAACAGACCAACCUAUACAGUUCAACCGAACAUCAUCACUUUGAGUCUUCAUGAGGGCUUCCAGUGAUAAGACCAAAAGCUUAGCACAAUUCGCAUCUAAUACUUCAGAAAAAUCAUUAUCUUCAUUGGCAUUGACCAGGAAAGCUAUUUUGUACAAAACAAACAGAAUCUCUCCUUGGAUUUCUUCACUGUAGUAAAAGGAGGAAAAAUUAGAUAGAAAACCACAAAAGUUGAGGCACAUAAAGAUAUUUCAUCUUUUAUGUAAUCACCUAGGCAACUGAAGACCUGCGAUAAGGUUGAAAACAAGGGCACCUUUGUCUUUGACAUAUAUAUGAGGAUUACUUUUCUGACACUCCAAGAGAACGCCCAAGCAAUGAAGCUGCAAUCAACAAGAUUAGGAACUUAAACUUUCCAAGAAAAAAUGAAACAGAUAAACUUCACUCCCAUAAAAAUUGCUCUGGAGUCUUCAAAUUUACAAACUAAUUCAUCUAUACAUCACUUGAUAAACAUUUGGGAAAAUUACAUCUGAUAAAGGAAGGAAAGAUUACAGGCACUGAAAUUGUUUACUUUGUGAGAAAAAAAUAGUUAGUAGAUGUGAAAAUCCUCCAAAACCAGAAAUGAGAACAAAAAAGAGAAAAUGGACAUCAUGGAGCACAAGCAUUAUAUUUAUCCACACACACAAAAGAGGAAAAUUCAGACAAUCAAAUAGAAUAUAACAUAAUUUUGUACUACUAAUUAUGAAGCCUGAUCCAAGCAAUAACAGAAUAACGAUAAAACAACACUAGAAAUGAAAAUGAAAUGUAAUUUUGAAAUAAAAAUUCCAAAAUCUUCAUUAUUAAGAAAACUCAACCACAAAUAAAAAAGGAAUACUUUAGUAAAAAAUGAAAAAAAAAAAAGGGAGUUACAAUUUGGAGCUGUUGGCAACUCCAAGCUAGGGAGUAAGACGAGAGACGAUCAGUAACUUUUGCGACGAACUCUCCGUACACUUGACCAUCCUUAGCAGCGUCACAUAUUAGCAAAACCAAAUCCACGAUUUGUGCGGCGAUGGCAGCAUCGUUGAAGGCGGAAAGGGACUGAAUGAGAGGAGAAAUUAGGAAAUGAGAGUGGAAAGUGACGAAGGAGUGGAGAAAUUGAGGUUGAGCCAGGGCUUGGGAGAGUUGAGAGAGGGCGUAGGAGACGUGAACUGUUGGGGAUUUGGGAUUGGAGAUGAGAUUCGAGAGGCAGACUAGGCAGAUCCUUCCGCCUUCCGAAGUUGGGAGGUUUAAGGCCGUGCUGUGGCCUUGCGAGCAUGCUUCGUACGGCGGCGGCGAUGGUGCGGAGUGGUGGUGCGCGGUGGUGAAGAACAUUUUUGGUUCUUUUUUGAAUUUGAACAGGGAGAACUUUUGGCGCGGAGGGGAGUGAACGGGAUUUUAUAGUUGGGACUCGGGAGAAUGAAAGUUGAAAAUGGUAAGAGUUUUUUUUUUUUUUUUUUUGCAGAAAAAGGAUAAAUUAUGAGUUGAAUCAAAAUGUGAAGUUUUGAAAUGAAAAUUAUGGAUCCAAAAGAUAAACGUGUGAUAUUGGGAUAAAAAGUUUUAUUACGUGACGAAUAUGAAGUAAAAAUAGAAUUAAAAAUAUAAACAUGUAAUUAAAAAAUGUAUUUACGAUAUAACAAAAAGAAUUCUAAAAUAAUUUGGUAUCCAAACAAUUAGUGUCAUUCGUAAAUUGUACUGGAAUAUUUCAAAUGUCAUUAUAAGGCAGUUGGAUAAUUGAGAAUUUAAAAAGUUAACAUUCAACUAUAAAUGAUGAAGAGAAUAAGAGUGUACAAAAAUAAAAUAAAAUAAAAUUCAAACGAAUUGGAUUUCAUUUGUCAUCCCUCAAGUUUAAUAAAAAGAGAAGAGGAGUAACUAUAGCAGCCCCAAUGGUUGCCACAUGGCUCUCCUUCUUUUUGACAAGUGGCAUAUUUCGUGAUUUAAUUUCUUUUCUUUUUUUCAUUAUUUUUCCCCUCAUUUUCCCCUUCCUUUUUUAUCAAGACAAAAAUCUACACAAAUCCUAAUGUACCGUAGCUUCAUCCCUUCCCAUCCUUUACCUCUUUAUCUGCUCCCACGCUUUACACCUUUCUCUUUCAAUGUUCGUUUUUUAAAUGAGGCGAAUUUACUAACAUAACUCAUAUUGUUAAUUUUCUUUCUAAAAUUUUGCCAAUGUAUUCCCAUUUAUAUUUUUCACUGGAACAUUAUAUGUUAAAUGAUGCUUUUAGACUCUGAGUUGCGAGUUGAAUGAGUUAUUUUUUUCUAACGAUAUUGACACAGUUUAUCAUGCUAUUAUUAUAUUUUCAAGUAAGGACAUGUGAAGGUGUAUGUAUUUGUUAGAAUUAAUUUUACAAAAAUUUUUUUCAUGCUUUCUUUUUUUAGUUAAUUUUUAACUUAGGACUGUCUUAUUUUUGGAUUAAUGUUUUUGAAUUAGCAAUGCUAAACAGAAACACUAUCAUGUUGAAUCUAUAUUUGUUUGCCAUAUAUUUAAUUCUUAUAUUGCUGCUAUUUUUCUAAAUAAAAAUGUAAUUAUAUAUAUUUUAAACAAUAUUUUACAUGGGCCCAAGCACAGCGUGGUUUUCCUAGUAUCAUAAAAUACUGAAAAAGAAAGAAAGAUUUGAUUAAGAGUUAAUGUAUAAAACUUACUGGAUGGAAAAAAAAAAAAGAAAAGAAAACCAAUAGGUAAAAUGGAAAACAACAAAAUAAGAUAAUUCUAAUCAACAAUGUAAGAUUCACAAUCCUCCCAAAAAGAAAAAAAAAAAUAAGUGCUAUAGAUAUAGUAGGUGAACUAGACUGAAAACAAUAGCAUCAUAGUACUUAAUUUGAACCAAAAGAAACCAAUGCAAAAAAAUGACAAAACUUGUCUAUGACCGCCACUAAAUAGUCUAUGCGUAGACAAUUCACUUUCUAUCAACAACUAAACCGUAAUCAAUUUCAACUUCAGGUAAUUUGUUCUACAUUUAUCAGUCACCUCAAUGAGGUGCAUUAAACAAUAUUCAUAUUCUCAUUAAGACAAGAACUAUCGAGAGUAAGACUUGAUUAUGACUACAAUUCAUCAUAAAAGAAUAGCUAAGUCCUAUGUGUAGAAAAAGUGUGGAGGAGAUAGAAGCCAGCCAUAUAUCAUCUUGUUCUUCUGCAGAUGGAACUUUUGGAAUUUGGUGGAGUCAACUACAAGAGGCAGUGGAAAGGCAAGAAGGGAGGGAACAUGCUGACUUGACAUCAAAUUUACAAGGGUAAAUCUGGAAAGCCAGGAAUCAGAAUUGCUUUAAUUCAGAGUGUAGAGAGAAAGAGGAAACAGAAGAACUGGGAAGAAAUAAGACUGUUAAAAAUCCAAGAAACAGUGCCAUAUAGCAAGCAACGAACAUCUUCACUGAUGGUGCAUCUGACAAGAGCCCAGGAACAAAGCUGGACUAGGUGUGAUAGUUAAAGACAACGAAAAAACAUUCUCAUGGAAUGGCUACUUGGGAAUCCCUGUGAAUUUUCGUGCAAAGAUCAUAAAAGCAAAUAGUAAUCACGUCUGACUUUGCUUUUUGCCAUGGAGAGUAAAUUCGUGCAUCUAUUUGUAUCUCCUCUAAUUGCAAUGAAAUAGUUACCCAAAUUGAACAAUGAUGAAUCUUUUCUAUCUACUGUAUCACAGGACAUUUGGAGACCUAAGUAUUGCUUUUGAAGCAGCUCUCUCAUUUAGAUUCAUAGGCAAGAGAACAAAAUAUUAGCCCUUGUUUGGCAAAAUUUUGCCACUAAACUCCAUGAUGUAAAGUGGGAACUGGAGAGGGAAAAAUUUUGCCACUAAAAAUUUGCUCCCUGACGUCAAGGGAGAACUAGAGUUCUCCAUGGAUUGGGGAUAGGGAAGUUGCCAUUAAUUCUAGACUUAGUUCAAUACAAAGCAGGUUACAUUUCCAUCCCCCACCCCAGAAAACAAAAAUAAUACUAAUGCUUCCUAGGCCGAGUGAAUCGGUAUUUGAAGGCAAAAGACGCAGAUUUAAGCUUCCAGAGAAUAGUUACAUGGUGAAAUCUAAAUAAGAUCAAUCUUCAAUACAAAAUGAAAACAUAAAUAACAACUUUGGAAAAAAAGUUCAUUGGUAGAAAAGCAGCAAAAGAACUUCAUAGCAAAGGUGAAUUGACUGAGACAGCCUGCAGAACCUUCCAAAGUGCAUGUGUAUAUGCUACAUUUCAAAUGCUAUAGAACUGUCAAAAUAAUCAAAAUGUUCCAGGAUUUUCAACCUAGAGCGCUGGAGCAAUUAAAAGUACAGAAGUUCAAUACAACACAAAAUCUAAACCUGGAUGAUAAAUUACAACCACAAAAGGCAAAAUGUAGCUGCGAUCUUCCUAAGCAGCACUCCAUGAGAACACAGAUGCCUCUCUUAACCUGUAUGCUCACUCGCCCUUCCAAAACAUCUUCAACAUAAAGCUUUUGGGCCCCUUACUUUCAAAGAAGCCAAUGCCGCCUGACACACCAAAGAAUGAUGGCUCCUUAUUGUUCAAAUAAUUUAAUUUAGGUCCGACCUCUCAUUUCAUGAAUGACUGGAAAGAAAGGAAUGAACACAAAUUGAAGCACAAGGAUACCAAGGGAGAGUAACAUCUCAUCUCAUUCUGGAAUUCUUACAAAAUCAAGAAUCAUUACAUACUAAUCUCAAGGGUCCGAUCAUUUCUCUCAAGAAGAUUGCACUGCCAGCCGCUGAAGAUGCUCAAAAAACACUUGAAGACUCACAUCAUCGGUGAAGAUUAUGUCUGUUCCAGCUGCCAUCUCAUGCGCAUUAUUGUACGUAGCUGACGGGUUCAACUUUGCCAGUAGGAAUCUUGCCUGAUUUAACAUUGACAAAAACUCGUAUUAGCAGCAAACUCAAGUUUGCUUGAAGGGGGAAAAUAUACAACAAAUUAGCAAUAAGACCAGCUGCAGAGCAUGUCUAGUUUUCAUCGUGAACCGUAUUGAUCACACUAUUAAUUUCACUCUUCUUUCUAUCUAAAGUGGAGAAACUGAGGGAUAAAGCUGAGGCAUAAAAUGAGGGAUAUCACUUUAAUACUGAGGCAUAAAGCAAGAGGGAUAUCAAGAAAAAAAAAAUGAUGACAGCACAAAAAUAAAAAUGAACAAAUUGAUGGAUAAAGAUAAACAGAAAAAAAAAAAACAAAUUUAUACCCAAAUAUCUCCCCAGAACCUCACCCCCAAUCCAAUCACCCCUGAAACUGACCAGCACCUUCAUUAAAUUAGUUGAAUACAUCACGAUGUCUUGCAUAUGUUUGUAGCUCAUGUUAAAACACAAUUACAAAGUACCUUGCAGAAUGUUUAAACAGACCAACCCAUUGUUGUGUAUUCCUCGUGUAUACACAAGUUUACAGAAUAAAAGUUUAUGUCAAAUAGCGAAGAGUAGAAGGUACAGAUGACUUUCAAUGAUGACAACAAUCAAGACAACCUGUCACAGUAGCAAAAGUACUCGACAGCAUUAAUUUUCGUGGACUCCUGUUACAUUUGUUUCAUAAAAGAGGUUGAGAUUGCAUCAUCACAACCAAGACAUCCUUGGCUAGGCUCCUAAGGACAUCAUAAGAGAACUCUGAAGUGCCCCAAAGGCAUGUGUACCCAAAUCCCAACUGGUGGCUUAUUAGCAUUGCAUCAUCGGAAUGAUCCUUUCUGUAUAUUCUCUUCCACCCCCUUUUCUUGCUCUAUUCUCUUAUCAGUACUGUGCUAAUAACCUAAUCUUCUGUCAAAGAAAACUUUUUCUUUGUAUUCCCCUAUGACUGAAAGCAUCAAACCUGUCUCUAUCUAAAGGAAUGACCCAACAAGAUGUAAAUCAACUGCAUUUUCUCAUUGACCGGUCUUAGAACCUUAAAAAAGCAGAUAUCAUACACACUUCUACACAGUUUUCCAUUACAGAACAGGUAUUAAUUCAUCAUAAGGGGACAAAGAAGUACAAAAUAUCACCCUGUGAUUUCGAAAGUCGGAAACAAGUACCCAAACACCAUAACAAAAAAGCAGCCUAAAUUUCCAUGAGCCAGUAAGUAUUUUUUGAAUGUUUCACCAAGCAGAGUUCCCUGCUUUCCAGAAUGAAGUAAAAAGCAAGGAUGCAGACUAAUAUAAAAUCUAGAAGAGAACAUGUAUCAAUAUCAUGGCAAGACAAUUACAGGCAAAGCUAGGAUCAAACAAAAAUAACCUGUGACCCAUGCUGAUCGCAAACCACCAAUCUGGGUGUGGGGAACCGAUCACGAAUAAUUGUCUGGGCAUCUUCUUGAGGAGCUUGCAAGAAUUGUGCAAAUACCUACAUAGAUGAUGAAGAAAAUAGUCACAAAGAAAGAAAGAAAAGGCCCCCGUACCAGGGUACACAGUUGAUCUUGUUAUCACAGCACAAUCUCAUUUCCAUAUCAAAUUAGAUACUCAUAAAUGGGAAAAUAGCGCGAAGUGAUAGCAAAGAGACCAAAGAAUUAUCAUAAGAAAAUAGAUAUCUAUCAAUACAUAAGCUCAUGUGAACCCAUAUAGAAGCAAGCUGAUAAGCUGAGUACUUACCAGGAGAAGCAAAACCAGAAAAACAUAUUCAAAAUAGAAAUUCUGACCAGUGGAAGAAGCAAAGAACAAAACGCACACAAACCUGGUGUUCUGGUUGAUUCUGGUAGCCCAUGUUUCUCCACUGAGCUAUCGUCAUCCCAUGGAAAAUUACAACACUGAAGUAUGUAUCUAACAACAGAAUACGAUCAGCUGCAAUUGAUGCCACAUCCAACAAAGCAGGUGUGGGCAAUGAAUGGAAAGAAUAUGCCAUCAGUGAUGGUUGAAUCAUAACAACGGAGUUGCUUAUGCUCUCCCGGUUGAGCAACAUGCGGAAGUAUGCCGUCUCAUCUGGACUGUUAUUAAAUACCUACAUAGAAAAGAGAGGGUUCAAGCCAAUAGGAUGAAAAUUGACAAGCUAUAAUUCUAAGCGACAUUCUAAAGCUCCUGCCUAUACCUGCACAAAUUGUGAACGCCGCAGAUUAAACAUGAAUUGAGGAAACAAUGAAAAAGAGGGAUUUAAUGUAAAUGAGGACGGGUCAUCCUUCCGGUAGUCACCGAAUUUGGCACAAAGACGAAUCAGAUUCCGAUCCAACCACCGUGUGGCAUCAAAACCAUCCUGAGAUUUAUAUCCAUCAACAACAAUAUAAAGUUACAGUCAGCAUGUAAGUACAAGAAUCAUUUACACAUUUACUUUUUAAUUAAAAUAUUUUAUUGCCCAAUAUGAAUCUGGUAUGCAAUUUAAAAUUUCUUUGCAAAGUUUUAGUGUACCACUACACAAAAUUCUACACAAUCAAGCUUGUUAGCCUAAUUCACAUAUUCUAUUACAUAAAAUAGAACUUGCAUGAGAGAGUGAAAAGAAUACUCUUGAAAACCAAUUACAUUAUACGAAGUUUCAAGUAAACCAAUUCCAGAAUCAUAAGUAAUUCACAGAUGUGCAGAAACCUUAAAUAAAUUCUACAUAUACCAAAAGUUUUCAAAAUAAGACCAAAAAAAAAGUAAAGCAACAGUGUCAGCAUCUGUUUCUCUCUCCUCUUUUUUGAUGUGUCUUUUAACAACCACCAUGGAUCAAAAAUUAUAUUUAACGAAAUGAGCUUGUUGAAUAUGCACAUGAAGGUCAUUAACAGUUUUUAAGAAAGAAAGACUACCUCAUUCUCCAUUUUAUAAGAAGCAAAUCUGGCCACUAUGACAGCAGCAGUUUCUUGGUCAAACCCUUGGACCAACUCCUGCAUGUGAAAAAUGAUUAGAUUUAACAUUGAACUGACUGCAGAACUCAAAUUUGCCUGAUAGAACAACAAACGCCACUAGACCAAAGUUGUCCACCCAAAACAAGAAAAUGUUAUUUAAAAUAGAAAUUAGGGUUACAGAGACAGGAAAAAAAUGCACGUCAAAAAAGAGCAAGUGAAACAACCAGCAUUAUACACCACCAUGUCCUUACCUCUGUGCCAAGAGCACUAUCCGCCCAUCUUUUGGUAACAGUUGUAACUCUCAACAGCGAUUGGCCUUCAGGGCUCCGGUAGCUGCAUGGACGUUUAUUAAUAGCAGAAUUUGCACCCAGACCAAAGUGACAUCACGGAUGUAAAAGUACAUGCACAAAAAAGAAGCUUAUUGUCAAGCAAACAAAAUGAGGGCCCACAAGAUAAACAAAAGGAGGCCAACUUCUAAGAAAAAAAUAACAUGCAUGAAAAGGACCCAAUACCUUGUAAGGAACUGUAGGAAUAAUUGAGGAUUUGAUCCUGAUGGAUCUGAUUUUUCACUUGACGAUAUAUCAAAGAAAACAGUCAAGCAAGUAUUCCUAUCGAGGCCACACAACUUCCAAGAUGUAGUGUUCCCUUCUCCAACAACCGUACUGGCAACAGAAGGCCCUUUCUGCAAGAUUUCCAUUCAUGGAAAAAAAAACUUUCAGUAUCAAAAUUACACAUAGUUACACUAUUCUUAAACAAAAUAGAGCACUCUAUUCAGUUAAAGGAAGUAGUGCUUCAAGAAUGAACAAACCUUCUCCAAAGAUGUGCAAGGUCCAAUGACACCUUGGAUUUUGAUGUCCUUUGAACAGUUUAUCUCGAGUGUGCCACUGAAAAGGAGUUGCAUGACUUAAAUUAUUCAGAGAAAUAACAUGUAAAGCAUAAAUGACAGAAUAUAGCACAAAGAAAAUAUUACAAAACAGUAUAGCCCUGACAACAAGCCAUAGAAUAAAAAGACGGACCAAAUAGGCAACUCUCUUAAGUUCAAAUUAAUAGCAUCUACAAGGUCAGCUGAAGUUCCAACACUUUUGGAAGACCAGCAUGUCAAAUUGGCAAAUACAAGCAUAUCUAUAAAGAUAUUGAGAGCAAAUGUCACAAACAAAAAGAUCAUCAACCUUUUGCGAUUAGUCAAUGUAAAUGUUAGACAACUCAUAGAGGAGCAAAAAUUCGGUCAUUUAAUUUGCUCCCUUCGACCAUAUUUUCCGGUUGCUUCCCACAAGCAAACUUCAAUUGCAAAAUUCUCUUCACUCCACAUAAUUAAACAGUAUCUUGCAUAAAUUCACUGAGGCAUGGAAUUUUUAAACCAAAUAGCAUUUGGUCUAAAAUGUUAAUUUAUGUACUUAAAGAUGCUUAAACUACACAUGAACUCUCCUAAUUUGUAGCACGUCCAAAAAUAACAUGCCAAAGUCGUUAAUGCAAAAUUUAAUCGAGUUCUUAUACUUAACCUAAUUUGAUGUUUCCACAAUUAAAAUGCAUCUUUAAGUUCCCUCAUUUACACCAACACCAUCUAGCCUACAAUAUGAUAAUGAAACAUAAAAAAAUUUAAGAACCUCAAAAGUUACAAAAUGCAGCAGCAAUUUAGCAAAUGAAAGAGGUGCAGCUUGAAAUCGUAAAAUUAAGAAACUCACUUAUAGGAAAGACCAAGAGACUGUUCUCCACCUUCAAAAAGUCGUUUGAAAGAGUCUUUAAAUACUGAAUGACCAAAACUUUCAGCUAAAACAACAAGUCCACCAGUUUUUUCAAUGGCAACCUUCAUCUCAGCAACCCCAACCUAAAAACUUCCUUCUAUUAGCAAAAGCAAAUAAGGUAAAAAAAUAAAGGAAAAAACUCCAUGGACAAAAUCAAUUAGAUUGAGCAUAUACACAAAAAAAGAAAAGAAAUAGCUAAACCAAGCAGCAGAGAAUCAAUGGUGACCUAAUGGAACGGAAUAUAAACACAUACUGAAAGUGUGGAUAUCCAACCAUAUAGGAAACACACCAGAUAAAUCAGCAGAAGUCAUUUAACUCCAAAUUGACAGUAGGAAAUCUUUGAAGUUGUAGAAUUUUAGAAAUUGAUUUUACAUAGUUUCUAUCUUCUUCCCUAAUGGACAAUCAAUUUAAGGAUUAACAUAUGUUUGGCUUUCUUCUUCCUCGCUACUUAAAUUAUGCAUCCUAUGCUACAGGUGUCUGGAAAAUCCUCCCUUCCAGCUACUUAUACCUUUCUAGCUCCACCAUCACACUUCAUUCAGUUUAAAAAAAAAAAAAAAGGGCUGACGUGUAAUCAGUGAAAAUUCUUUUGGUUCAAUGGCUUUGAGUGAGUGCACUAAGAUUACUGGUGUCCAACAAUCACGACAGCCCACAUUCCUUUUGUAACCAAGUAUAAUGAGGCAAAGUGUUGUAAAAGACAACAAUGAAAAUAAACACCACCUGCUUUGAUUAAGAGUUUCAUAUCUCUCAUGUAAGACUUAUUGAGAAAGCAGUAAAGACAAAAUGAAACAAAAAAAUGGUAGAUGAGCAAAAGCAAUUUCCACUGAUGAGCUCCAGCAGUAUGCAUCUAUAGCAUGUGAAUCUAAGUAAAACCCAUCUUUUGAAAUACAGGCUAUAAGAAAUGGUGUUACAGCCUCACAGAAGUAUAAAGUUAAUUAUCUAAGAUGAAUAAUGAGUGCUGAGUCGCGACAUACAAACCUGAUCAAGAGCAGAUGCAAAAACAUCCAAGACAUGACCCUCACUGACAAGUUGCUUAGCUAGCUCUUCAUAGAAAUGAACAGCUUUUUUGAAAAAUGGUGCAGCAUCCUUGUCUAAAUCCUUAUGUGAACGAACUGGAUCUGAUAGAUCCUUGGAAACAAUCUGGAAAAAGAGGCAUAUGUCAGCUAUUUAUAGUAAUCAAUAGUCAAGACUCAAUUUAUUGAACCCAAACAAUUAGAACUGAUUUGUUCAGACAUUGAAUAGUUCAUACUUUCAGUCCUUACCCCUGGGACAUAAGUCUAAAAAAUGCUUUUCUGUACUGCUCUAGGACCACCAUACCAUGAACAACAUAAGAAAGAGAACCAAAGAAAAACAAGUAGUAUUACAAAUAAUCAAGAAGCUCAAUUUCAAAUAACAGCAGCUAUUGCUCAGACACCCCAAAGUUGUUAAACCAAUCAGAACCCCAAUACUUAAACAAAUUUGAUCUUUUCAUUCAUCUUGAAAAAAAAAUUACAUUUUCCAUCAAUGAAGCUACAGUUAAAACCAUUUACAAUAUAAAACACAGUUACAACAUUUGUGCACAGCAAUACCAGAGGGUUUUUCUUGCACAUGAUCUUAAUCAGCUUGUGUAGUAUUGCUAUCCAUGACCAGUAGACAGGUGUGCAACUGCCAUUGAUUCCAAAUGGGAAGUGAGAUAAGCUUUUCUUUUUCUUUUCCCUUCCCCCAAAGUGAUUCAGGAAAUGCCAAUUACAUAACCAUGCAGACUCAAAAGACUCCCUAAAAUCCAACUUCAUGACGUCGUUACCAGAUAAUAAUGAAAAUAGAUACAAAUCUACACUUUCUACAUUGUCAUCACUAAAACUUCUUCCUUUUUUACCGUGACAGCAAGGAUGUUCAAAUGAAAUCCGAUUGAACUUGUCAAUCAACAGCACACCAUAUGCAUAAAUGAAAAAAAGAAAAUCAAAUUCUAACCAGUAAUAAUAGAAAUUAGAAAGACCAGAAGAAGCUUUACCACUCCUGGCCCUUCAGUACAUGGUCCACCAACUAAAGCAACAAUUCUUGCGCUUUGACCAGCUGCGCAAACUCCAAGCAAACCAGCUGCAACACUCAAUGCAACUCCUGUACACCGUAACGACCUGCUCCCAGGUGGCACCAGCCAUCGAUCCGUCCCCAACUCAUCCAAUAGCUACAAAAAAAAGGCAGAAUCAUGACGCAGAUUCAUCCCAAGUAAAGUAAUUCCCUACAAUAACCAACAAAUUCCAUAAAAACACGCACCGAAUUGAGCGUAUAUUCGCACUCAGAAGCAGGCAACAGGAAUCUAGAAAAACCGGGAUUCGGCAUUCCUACAGGGCUACCUCCAACUCUCUGAAUUCCAGGCAUUGGCCGUCGUGCUGCCCCAAUAACACCAAGUCCCAACUGCUCCAAAACCUGAUCUUUCGUCAAAUCCUUAGACCCUCUAAAAACAUACACCUUAGACAAUUCCGAAAACCCCAGCUCGUGAACCUGCACCUGCGUCCCAAACGAUAUAAACCCAACCAAAGCAUUAUCAGGCAACAUCCCAAUAGCCCUUUUCAACGCCGAUUUCGCAAACUCCAAUUCCUCCUCGAGGACACAAGUAUCCAAAACGAACAAAUAAACAGCCGAAUUCGGCUCGAAAAAGUUAGGGUUUUGAUUAGGGUUUUGAUGGUGAUGAAUCGGCUGCAGGGUGGGGAGGGUAUACUGAAUGGUGGUGAAUUGGGGGUAGAGCUCGGCGGGCAUAUUCGUCUCCGAAAUUGCGUUGUAAUGCUGGGGAAAAUGAUUCCGAGAGAAACAAAACGGGCAGAUCCAAACUAGACCUUGGAAAUCGACGCGGCAAAAUGGGUUGAGGACGGCGGUGCAGGUUUUACACUUGAGCGGCGGGUAUGGGAGGGUGAGGACGUCGGGAUGAGAUCGGAUCGGAGAGAUCGAGGCCGCGAGUGGGAUCACGCACUUGCUCAAUUCGACUUUGGUCCGUGGCCAGACGUUCCACGUCAUCCGAACUCCGUCGAUUCCUUCUGGAUCCAUCUGAGCCAUCUCCGUCGCCAUAAUUCAAUCGAAUUCUCGGUGAUCGGAGGAUUUUUGCUCUUUUUUUUCGUUCUUUUUGAAUUAAAGAAUUUAUUAGGGGAUUUAUUUAAGGGGGUAUUCAGGGGGCCCCGGGCUGCCGGGAAGAAGAAGAAGAAGAAGCAGAAGAGAGUCAAAAGAUGGAUGAGGGGUAAGUUUAGUGUGUGUGUGUGUGUGUGUGUCUGUGUGUGAGACAGCGAGUGAGGUGGAUUUUUGGGUGUGAUGACGUUGGGGCUUUUGGUGUUGGAUCUCUUUUGCUAACGUUUAUUUUGUGCUUAUUUACAAUUUUUUGUCAAGUCUAUUUUUCCCUUUUGUUUUGGGGUAAAAGUAAAAGUUUUUUAUUAGAUAGCCAAAUAAAAAGGUUUUAAUACAUGCUUGAUAGAAUAGUACUCACUAGCUAUUGAGGCGCAUUCAAUGCGCGUGCAAUUUAUUAAAAAAUAUUUUUAAUUGUAAGAAUCAUAAAAAUAGUACCAGUGAAUAUGGCUAUUUUAUGUAAUAUAUGAUAAAAAGUGUAUAAUAUAUAAAUAUGUACAAUUGGAAAUAAAAAAAAACCAUUGAUAAGAAAGAAUGUGAGAAUUGGACGAAUGUAUUUUUGAUUGAGUAGAAUUUGUAUGUCAGCUGAUAUUUAAGACAAGGGUUAAUGGAUAAUAAAGAUAAUAGAGAUGGAUAAUAGAAAUAAAGAUAAAUUUAGAAACAAAUAAAGUUAACACCAAUUUAACCACCUACAUAGAUUUUAUUAUUGUAAAGAAAUGAUACUUUUAAGAAUGGGUAAUAGUUCAUAUUGUGUUAAUUCAACCGUCGAAAUUAUCUGAUUUUUAAGAAUGGUGGAUAAAAAAAUUUAAAUAAACCUUAAAAUAUUUAGAUUUUUUUAAAUAUUUAGAUUGUAUACUGUUGACCAAUGAAUUAGUUUUAUUUUUUACAACUCAUUUAGUUUAUGAAAAAUGUAACUACAACUCCGACUUCAUAGGUAUUGGGACAUAGCACGAAGUGCUUUCUUUAUUUGAUGUUAAAUUUGUUAUUCUUUAUUUGAUUAAAGAUUACUCAUAUUAAUUCAUGAAGAGAUGCAUAUACAUAUAUAUAUAUAUGUAUGUAUGUAUGUAUGUGUAUAUAUAUAUAUAUAUAUCCAUGAAAGAGGAAGGAGGAAAAAGAUUCGAGAAGUAAUUACAAGAGAAAGAAGAAGACAAUAAGAGAGAAAGAUAAAACACAAACAAAAAUUAUGUAUAAUAAAACAAUUUUGAGUUAACAUAAAUAAAUCUAAAAUUAAUGGAAUUGAAUAAAUAUAAUGGAAAAAGUAAACUAACUGACUAUUAGUAUAUCACUUUUGUGACUUGAGUGGACAAUUUGAAACAAUAAAUGAUUAAUUCGGAACGUGUAAUGUAAAUAGUUUGAUUACUCAUCUUUGUUUGAAUGUUUAUCUUUUAAGAUGCAUUUUGAAAAAUUUUCUGAAUUUCUUUAACUAAAUCACACCCAACCUAUUAUAUAAGUACACACAUUAAUAUUUAUUACACCCCCUUGCAUUUAUACACAUUAGCUACUUAACUUUAUUUUUUUAAUUCAAUUGGCACUAACUUAUUUUUUCUGUAUCACCUUCAUUGGAAUAGACUUCAUGAGUUAAAGAAUUGUUUAGAGAACAUGUAAAGACAAAUUAAAACAACUCCUCGUCCAAACAAGGGUCCUCCUCUAUUUGGAUGGUCAAGUUUUAUGGAAAUUAGUGGGAAAAGAACAAAAUUGGAAAUUUUUUUGUUGCAAACAAAAUAAUAUUAUGAACUUUUGUUUUGCAAACAAAAGAAGAAGUUAAUAGAAGUUAAUAGAAGUUAAAAUAGUGAAAAUUAUUGGAAGUUUGUGAAUUUUAGUGGUUAUCAUCUUUACUUUUGAAUGGUAACUUUUUUUUAAAAAAAAAAAGGUGAUAAAAAAUUUUAACACCUAACUCAUAUCUCAUGCUUUAUAUGUGUGUGUAUAUAAAGAUGCUUUGAAAUUCUUUAAAUACAUUUCUCAAUCAUUUUUUCCUCGCAUACACAUUUGCUGAUAAGGCACUACACAAAUUUUCCUAAAAACAUCGAACAUGUUUCAUGUUAUUAGUGGUGGGAACGCGUUGAAUACCUGUUUCGUGCACCAUUUGGCUGACGUGAUCCGCACUUGUUGGUUAGUCAUUUCCUGACUCUUACCUAAUAUGGGUACUCAGUCACUGGAUAUCUAUUGAGAUAGGAUCGGACCAACAAGUACCCUCCAACCCUGCCCUGUUUAUUAUUUAAUUUUUUUAAAAAUAAUUUAUAAUAAUUUAAUUUUAUAUCUUAUAUAUUCAUUUAAGAUUUAACAAUUUCCUCAAAAGAAGUCUCCUACCAAGAAACAAGUAUGCAAAGAGAAUACAAGAAAAAGUAAAAAAAAUUAAAAGAAUUUAAAAUCAAUAAAAAUUUGAAAUAAGUAGUACCUUUUUAAAAUAUAUAUUCCACAUCAAUUAAACUCUUUCCUAAAAAAAAUAUAAAAUCAGGUUCUCUACAAAUAAAUCUCGUAAACAAAUUAUAGUCCUCCAUAUUUGUAGUGUAAUUCGCUCAAUAAAAUUACUUAAUUAGUUCUAAAAAUAUUAUUUUAUAGUAUGUGUAUAAAAUAAAUAAAUAAAUAAAUAAAUAAAUAUAUAUAUAUAUAUAUAUAUAUAUAUAGUAUGGGUCCAGUACCUAUGGGUUUUUAAUCUUAUGAUCAUACCCCGUCCUGUAUAUAAGCAAAUACCCGACCAUUUUUUGAUCCAAUCAAUUAAUGUGAAUUAGAUACCCUUUUUUUUGGAUCGAAUCGAAUAUAAUGGGUUUUCGAAUCAAUGGAUAUUUUUGUCCAUCCCUACAUGUUAUACAACAAACCACCAACCUUUGGGCUGGUGGCCACCACCUAACUUGGUGGGGUGGGAGGCAAGGGGUGUUUGUCACAUUUAAGUGGUUUGCUUCAAAAAAUUCAGGCGGGUGUGUUGUGCACCCGUUUGGUCCGGUGGUGGUUUAGUCCCCUCCAGAUUAUCCCCGGACCUUUGUGUUGUGAACUACAGAGAGUGUUCUCUACAUUAAUAUCCAUCAAAAGCAUAUCCAACUAUGUCAUGGAGUAAUGCUUUAAGAAUGUUGAAGAAAUUCCCUUCAUGACGGAGCCAGCACUUAAUUCUAGUGCUUUCAAACUGAUCCCUAAAGCCCUCACCUGGCCACAUAAGCACCAUGGCCUUCUUCGAGAAGAAAUCCAAGAGAACGCACAGCAGGGUGAGGAUCUUGGACUAUACAUCCACACUAGAUUGUCACGCGAGUGGUUCCAUUCCCAUCUCUCAUGUCUAUUCCCACGAGUAGUUCAAGCUCAUGGCCCUGCAAGACAUUACAACCAUUGUUCAAAGUCGCGCUCGCAGUUGCGACCGCGGCUUGGAUCGUUCCACAUCGGUUUCGACAUAUCGGUCGCGGUUUUGGCAAGACGCGAAUUUGUGAAAUAUUUAAUAUUCUAAAAAUUGUAAAAAAUAUGAUAAACAAAAAUAAUUAAAAAUUUUAGUAAAAAUAAUAAAAAUUCAAGUUGACUCGGGAUGACUCGGAGUGACUCAGUGUGAUUCGGCCGUUUCAACCUUUUACAGUGACGUCUCGGUCUGUCACGUAUCUCGGAAACGUUUCGUCGUGAUCUUGUCUCGGACUAGGCCGAGACCGAGACGACUCGGCCGGCCGAGUCUUCGAACCAUGAUUACAACACUUUCUCAGUUAAUUUAUACAACAUUCUGUAAUAAUCAAUAACUAAGAGUGCAUUGUAAAAGGUCAUCUAGGAAACCUGUUGAUAAGAUAGAGGGUGUAUCAUUGCACCACUGACUUCCAAGAAGUAAUCUGGGCUUAUGGAGCGAAGAUCUUGAACCUAAGCUAUUAAUAUAACAAAUGAGAUAUACAAGAUAGAGGAUCAAGCAAGCCACAUUAGACGUGCCUAGAAGAGCGCCAGUACAGAAUCAUAUUAACUGUAAUAAUCAGUAACUUAAUCCUAUUAUUAGUCUGCAUGCAUGAAACAUAAAACCCAAGAACCCCAAAAAAAAAAUGGAAUCCAUCACAUUGAGGAAUUUAACUGGAUCUGUUUGAACUAAAUACUUUCAACCAUUCAAGGUGAAAUAUUUUCACUGCCAUGCUCAUUGUAGAUGCACAAAAGCAAAGGCAACAGGGAAACUUCAUCUCAAAGGUUAAAUUUCUCAGGAUCAGUGAAAUGUAAAGCCAAGAACGAAUUUAUGUACUUAGCACUAACUGAAGACUUGUUUCUGCGACAAUCCAAAAAAAUAGAGAUCAUGACAAGAAAAUCUAAACCAUGAAAUUAGACAACACUACAAAACUGACCACCAAGUUCAUGACGACUGAUUUGCCACCCCUUUCAAUAUGCAGUUCAACAUUCUCGUUGACACUGUCAUCAAAUAAAGUCUCCAUCUUCAGGAACUGGGUAAUUACCUGCAACGUGUUUCCAAUGUCAACAAAUAAUUCAAUGGAUUAUCAUGCAUGAGUUCAAGAGGUUAUCAUGAUUACCAUGAAAAAUACAUAUCCAGUAACCAAACGGAGUCCUAGAAAAGUAAUCUCGACUAUUUUGUCUAGGCCUUUGAAACUGAAUUGUUUCAUCAGAAGAAGACCCAAUAGCAUUUCUCCUCUUUGCAGCGUUACACUCUCGACGACGAAGAAGGAGAUCGGCCUUCUCAUUAUUCGGCAUUUCUGCAUACCUUUUACGUCUUCUGGCAUUUUUAUCUAUCUUUGGAUAAUAUAGAUUGAAAAGAUAACAAAAGAAGAGGCAAGAACACAAGAGCCUUUAAAAACAGAUUUAAAAGAAAACAAAAGGUUGUACAACAUACACAAAAGAAAGAAUGGUUUAAAAAAUUCUAAAAAAAGGGACAAAGAUAGCACAGACCGUUUAAAAAUGAUCAAGAAGAAAAAGCUCUACAACCCUGUCGUAACAAGCACAAUAGGAGAAUACACAGUAUUUCUUUAAAAGGAAUGUACUAGAGUAAAUACCUGAAACAAGAGCUGCAACAAAGGAAAACCAGAAACCAGGUGAAGUAGCUAAAACCAAGCUGCAUAAUAAAAAUGAAGCAAAAGUCACUAAUGAUAAAGCAGAAAAUUUUAUCAGACCAAGGCUAAAACAAGCACCAAUGCACUAACCAGUGAGGAAAACAAAAGUUAGAGACAAAAAUAAAGAGUAAGGAACAGUAAAGCAAAAAAAUUAUAAUACAGCAGAGAGGAGAACCUAAUAGCAACACAGAAAAGGUGCUAAAAACACACAAACAGAGCUGAAACACUAACUAAUUCAGCAACAACUACAGCCAUUCAGCAAGCAGCAGAUCGGGUAAUUCUAAAGUGUAAACCACAACCAAAAUCUAAAUAAACAUAAACCUAGCAAAAAAACCGAACAAGGCAAUUUGAUGAGUAGACCGUCUAUUGUUAUGGUACAAAUAAUAAAGUUGAAGCUACGAUAUCAAAGAAGAAAACCAAGGAGGACAACAAAAGUAUAGUAAAUACACAAAAAAGCUAGCCAAGAACAACAAUUCAACUACAAUAAUGCACAUUUUGCAAACAUCCCAUGAACAGAUUUGAAAGGAAAAACACUAAGAUAAGCAGAAGAAAACUAAUGGAGAAAACAAAUCACGCAGGGUAGACAUAAAUAGUAGCAUACAUCUAGCAAAACAUGCAUAAGUUCAUUUAAGAGAUAAAAAUGCAGUCGAAACAAAGAUAAAAGUAGAAAAGGAAAAACAUACAGGACACAGUAAAAUAGCUUCAUAAAACUACAGAAGAGCUCGUCCAACAUUGUCAAAUGGCGAACAAGAAGAAGAAGCAACAUAAAAAAUAGCCACUGUCAUAUCAAUUAAUAACAAAGAAACUUGGAAAAGCAACCGAUUUCAUCGUUACAAUCACUUAAGCCUGGGAAAGAAUGACAAAAUGCUGGAAAAAAUGUACGACACCUCAUCCACAGAGGUCUCUUGCCGACCUGCCCCAAGAAGGAGCUGAAUUUCUGGUUAACCCAAUCAGAUGUGGCAAAUCCCACAUUACCAAUACACCUCUCAAAAAAAGCAAAAACUCCAAAAUACUUAAAGGCUCCAGAUGUAAACAGGGACAAACCAGAGUGCUAAAACUGUAACUUCACCGGGUUUUUGAGCCCAACCACCACAAUAGCAAGCCAACUACUUCAUUGUUUCGCAAGUAGGCCACGUCCAGCACAUGAAGUUGCGUCCAAUGGAUUUCGUGCCCACCACAUGAAGCCCACGUCCAGGAGGAAACCACCAAAGCCAAUUCACCAUCCAUGUCAUGACAAGCCAAUCACCUACCGCCACAUGGGCGAACGAUGAUUCCUACGUAGCAAGGGGGCUUUCACCCUUAGCCUAUAUGGUUAAUAAUUCAUAUUUUAUAAAAUAAAAUAGAACUUUAAUUGAUUAAAUGAGUGUUUCUUUGAAUUGUUAGCAUCUUCGAUAAAUUGAUAAAUUAAUAAUUUAUCAAUUAAUUAAUAUCUCUUUAAAUUAAUAAAAUUUGUAUGGUCACAAUGUUAUUAGUCUAUAAAUGUUUACUGUAAUUAGAAAUUUAGUAUAGAUGUAUUAAUAAAUUUAGUAUAACUAAUUAAUAAUUUCUAUUAAUAUACAUGUAUAAUUAUUAGUAUAAUUGAUAAUAUUAAUUAUAUUACAUAUAAACUAAUAUACAUUAAAUAAUAUUUAUAAUAAUAUUAUUAUAAAUUUAUGAUUAAUUAAAUUAAAUAUAUAUAUAUAAUUAUACAUUUAAAUUUUUUUAACGAAUGGCGGAGCGAUGAAGGGUGAGACAUACUUAGAACUGUUAAAUGAACCGAGCUGUUUAGUAGCUCGGCUCGUUUCGACUCAUUCGUGUUCGUGAAAGACUCGUUUAAAACCUUAAACGAACCAAAUUCGAACGCAUUUUUUUGUUCGAUUAAUAAUUGAGCGAAUAUGAGCAUGUUUGCGAGUUUUAAUAUAAGUUCGCAAACACGAGCAGGUUCGCGAAUUUUAACGAACGUUCGCGAAAAUGGACAUAAUUAUCAUUUGACAAAUUUUAGGGUUAAUUUUAUGGCUGGAUUUUUAUAUUUGGAGGGCAAAUUGCUUUGUUUUAUUUGUUGUUUUUAUGUUAAUGUUAGUUAUAUAGUUAAUGAAUAAUAGAAUUUAGUCACUUAGUGCUUUAAUUGUUUUUGAGAAUAAUUAAUGAUUUGCAUGGCAUAUUUAACGUUUAAAAUAAUUUGGAAUCGAGUAUUUCGAGUAUUUUCACGAGCGGCUCGUUUAACACAAACUCGAAUUCGAAUACGAACUUUGCUUAACAAACCGAACACAAACACAGGUUUGGAGUUCAAAAAUUAACGAACAAACACGAACGUUGUUCGAAUCGUUUAACGAACAAAAUUCAAACAUGAGAUACUCGAUUUGAUUCGGUUCGUUGACAGCUCUAAGCAUACUUCCCUAUCCCUGGCCCUGUUUUCUAGUCGGGGCGGCCCACGCCCCGACCCAUCAGCCCCAGCAGGCAGGCAGGCAUUCGUCCAAUUGUCAUACCUAACCUGACCGAACCCGGAUUAAACCCGAAUAAUUCCCCCGUUUCCGCCCAAGCUGCCCAUUGAUUUUCAUUUUUCACCAAAUACAAAUUUUCACCACACACUGGGUUUAGGGUUUUAGCUUGCUCAUCCCCCGAGGUUUUCUGGACGUCAGAAUAUGAUUUUUCGCAGUCUUCUGCUCUCCAAGAAUCUGAAUCCCACAAGGUAUUUACUCAAAGGUUCUCAUUCCUUGACCAGAAUUUCUAGUGUUGGUUCAGAAUUUGUUCCAUUAGUUAAUUGCAAUAGCAUAGUAAAGUUCAGAUUUUUAUCCUACUUGCGUUCUUUAAAUUCAGUUCCCUAUGAAAAAUGUGGGUUCUCCAUUUCCAAGAACCCAAAUUUUAUAAGAAACUAUUGCUCAGGAGGGGAUAAUAGUGGUGAGGAGUCAAAUGAGUGGACUGGAGAAAUAGAUUAUUUGGAUGAAUCAGGUGGUGUCAUUUACUCUGGAAAGGGUGUAAGAUCUGUUGAGCCGGGUAUAGAUGAUCAUGUGAUGGUGGGAGGGUUAAAGAAGCCUAUUUUGAAUGCUUCAGCUGUGGCUAAGAUUGUUGAGAUAGUGAAAAGGUGGAAAUGGGGUCCUGAUAUGGAGACCCAAUUGGAUAGGCUUCAGUUUUUGCCUAACAUGACUCACAUUAUUCAGUCAAUGAAGAUUAUUAGCGAUGGUGAGGCUUCGUUGAGCUUGUUUCGGUGGGCCAAGAGGCAAUCUUGGUAUUGUCCGACUGACGAGUGUUAUGCUGUGUUGUUUGAUAUGUUGAAUGAGAGUAGGGAUUAUGAUGGGAUUCAAUCAGUGUUUGAUGAUAUGGUUCGUGAUUCAGGUGAAAGUGGUAUAUCUUCAUUUAGUGCGUAUAAUCGGGUUAUUCAGUCAUUAGCAAAGGCUGAGAAAUUGGAGGUGACUUUCUGUUGUUUUAAGAAGAUGAAAGAAGUUGGUUGUAAGGUUGAUACACAGACGUAUAAUUCAUUGAUAACAUUGUUUUUGGAUAAGGGUUUGCCGUUUAAAGCUUUUGAGAUAUAUGAGAAUAUGGAAGAAGUUGGGUGUUCCUUGGAUGCAUCAACUUACGAGUUGAUGAUUCCAAGUUUGGCUAAAUCAGGCCGUCUUGAUGCUGCUUUGAAGCUCUUCCAAGAGAUGAAAGAAAAGAACUUCCGACCAGGUUUUGGGGUUUUUGCUGCACUUGUUGAUUCAAUGGGUAAAGCUGGUAGGCUGGACACGUCCAUGAAAGUGUAUGUGGAAAUGCAAGGUUUUGGACUCAGGCCGUCUGCCACUACAUUUGUUUCUAUGAUUGAGUCAUUUGUUAAAGCUGGGAAGCUGGAGACUGCUCUCAAGCUAUGGGAUGAGAUGAAGAAAGCCAGGUUUAGACCUAAUUAUGGGCUCUAUACUAUGAUGGUUGAGUCCCACGCAAAAUCUGGAAAGCUUGAGACUGCCAUGUCUCUCUUUUCAGAUAUGGAAAGGGCUGGAUUUUUUCCCACACCCUCUACCUAUUCUUCUCUUUUGGAGAUGCAUGCUGCUUCUGGUCAAGUUGAUGCUGCCAUGAAGCUCUAUAACUCUAUGACAAAUGCAGGUCUUAGACCAGGGCUCAGUACCUACACAGCCUUGCUGUCUCUCCUGGCAAAAAAGAAGCUUGUUGAUGUAGCUGCAAAGGUUUUACUUGAAAUGAAGGCCAUGGGGUAUUCUGUUGAUGUGAAUGCUAGUGAUGUUCUUAUGGUGUAUAUCAAGGAUGGUUCUGUUGAUCUAGCUUUGAGGUGGCUACGGUUUAUGGGCUCAUCUGGGAUUCGCACAAACAAUUUCAUUAUUAGGCAGCUCUUUGAGUCGUGUAUGAAGAGUGGAUUAUAUGAGUCGGCCAAGCCUCUUCUUGAAACAUAUGUGAAUGCUGCUGCUAAGGUUGAUCUUGUACUUUACACAUCAAUUCUUGCCUAUCUUGUAAGAUGCCAGGAAGAGCAUAAUGAGAGGCAUUUGAUGGCCAUCUUGAGUGCUACGAAACAUAAAGCUCAUGCUUUCAUGUGUGGUCUCUUCACAGGGCCAGAGCAGAGGAAGCAACCAGUUUUAUCUUUUGUGAGGGAAUUCUUUCAGGGAAUCGAUUAUGAGUUAGAAGAAGGAGCUGCCAGGUACUUUGUCAAUGUUCUUCUUAACUACCUUGUUCUGAUGGGACAGAUAAAUCGUGCUCGUUGUGUAUGGAAAGUUGCAUAUGAAAACAAGCUUUUUCCCAAGGCAAUAGUGUUUGAUCAACACAUUGCCUGGUCCCUUGAUGUUAGAAACUUGUCAGUUGGGGCUGCUCUUAUAGCAGUGGUACACACCCUUCACAGGUUCAGGAAGAGGAUGUUAUACUAUGCGGUCGUCCCAAGGCGGAUCAAAUUAGUAACUGGGCCAACUUUGAAGAUUGUUAUAGCUCAAAUGUUAAGUUCUGUCGAGUCACCCUUUGAAGUUAGUAAAGUUGUUCUGAGAGCCCCAGGGGAUUCCGUCCUGGAGUGGUUCAAGAAACCGAUAGUUCAGCAAUUCCUUCUGAAUGAGAUUCCAUCAAGGGCUGAUAUUUUGAUGCAUAAACUGAACACACUUUUUCCUAGUUCUGCACCCGAAAUUAGAUCCCUAUCCCCUCCAAAGCCUCUUCUUGCAGGGAAGGCUCUAUAGUCAUGGAUAAGUUGUUAGCUUGGUCAGGCAUCAUUUGUUUGUAAUAUAGAAUUAUAAGUUACAUUUUUGUUUGUUUAAAAAAGCACUUGACAUCUACAUAGAAAAUCGCAUGUUAGUGUACAUGAGAAAAUACCUUUAGAAUUUCAACUUCAGCUUUUCAAAAAUAUCUUUGCAAUAGAGGCUUCCUGGUUUCAGAUUGGUGGCAGCUAGUUCAUAUACAUAAUAAUUAACUGAGUAACAUUUAAUAGUUUAAUCUGCAGACAGCAAUUUUAUUUUGCUUCACUUAGAUGCUAAAUUGUGUUCAGGGGUGAUAUUUGCAUUAAUACUGGUCAUGCCUUAUCACUCAUUUACUUUGUUAAUAAGACCAGCUCUUAUCACUCAUUUACUCCCGCCCUUACCUUUUUUCUCCUUAUCUAAAGGCAUAUUUACCAUGUUAUGCUCUAGUUCUUAGUAAUGCUCUCUAAUCCCUAGUGAAACUACAAAGCACGUCUUUAAGCUCAACAUACUUGAUAUGCACAGCUGAUUAUCAAUGUAUUUCCAGUAAGAGGCUUCUCUGAAAACAAUGUCUGCUGCUGACCAUCCCUAUGUUUCCCACCUAUGUUUCCCAUCAAGGCUUCUUGGGAAAAAUGUCUUUAAGCUCAACAUACUUGAUAUGCACAACAGAUUAUCCACGUUUUUCCGCUAAGAGGUUUCUCUGGAAAAAAUGUCUGCUGCUGACCAUCCAUAUGAUUUCCAUUGAGGCUUCUUGGGAAAAAUGUCCGGUCAGGAGGAAGUAAAUCAGGUUAAGUAAUUUUAAACUGCUGCUAGGAAUCAGCAACAACUGCAAUGCGAAGUACUUGGCAGUGGCAGGGCUGCUGACAUGAGCCAGAUUCCUCUUUUCUGCUGCCAUCCGGUAAGAUUUAUCCCAGAUUUUAGUUUUUCAUGGACGCUAUUCUAUCUCGAAAGCCUCAUUUACGCCUAGACUACUGAAACUGUAACUUUUUUCCUUGUGAUUUACCAGACCAUGAUAUGUAUCAGGCUGUUAAAAUUGGAAGUGUCGAGGAUCACUUCCAAGUGACAAACAGGCACGAGUUGCAGUAGCCCAGACUAUAGAAGAUAAUCAAAAUUAAGAGUAGACAAAAUUUGUGCUCCCUCUGUAAGUUGCAUGCUGCUUCUGUUAUCCACUGGUUUUACUUUACUUGUCUUCAUCGACCAAGAUAGGGUCUUGUACACAUACCUAGAUGAUCACAGCAUAUACAGAUACAAUAUAUACAGUACACAUAAAAGUUAUCAGUUGCCUGUGUUCUCAGGUACCAUUUGAUCCACUGAUGAUCAAACACAUUUUCAGGACAUGGUCAAUUCUGCUGAAAACGAUAGGUUGGCUGGAAAUUCAGAUUUUACUCUUUGAGAGGAGGAGGACGUUUGGCUAUAGGAUUUCUUGACGAAUGGUCCGUGUAACCUGGGUUGUUCAAAGUUCAAACUGGUUUAUGGAACUUAGAUAUAUACAUUCCAAGAAUAGGGGUGAAUUAUGUGAUAUUGGAAAAGUGAAUUGCUAUGAUUUUCGUCAUUUAAUCCCAUGUCAUAUUGCUGCUGAAAAGCAAGAUUUUUGUACAACUUUACAGAUGCAGGGCUAAGAGUCUGAUUUACCUCCUUGUCUUGGCCUUCCACAGAUAAUAAACUCUGGCAGAAAGAGCAAGCCUUCUGUUGUCCCACAAAAUUCUGCUGCAAAGCUUCCUGGGAUAGCCAAGGCCCAAGGCAACUAUGGAUUCCAAAGAUAUGACUUCAUUUGUGGAACCUUUCGUCAAUCAGAAUAAAGUUGAAUUCUUUUCAAGAAGCAAUGCAUUCUAUUCUUUCCCAUCCAACAUGAUUUUAAACUUCAAUAUGAAAAACUAGUAUUGCAUUACAUUCUUUAACCACUCCUGCCCAUAAAAAACAAUUUAAGGUCAGGUAAAGAAUGAAGUAUCUAUUAGAAAAAGAGGCUUAAAACUAAAAUAAAGAAAAAAAAGGAAUGAAGAAUCAACCUCAUUUGAGCCAAUGCAGUUUUGAUUUAUCUCACUUCCCUCCCUCAAAAAAUGUUGUGGCAUGUAACUAUCCCUUCAUUGCUCAGUGGCCACCAAAAAGGGACUAAAGUCCCUCUUUAGAUUGUAGGUCAGAGGUUAGAACUCUAUCUGUAGUAAAAACAAUUCAAAGGAGGUGUCAGAACACCCUUUUGGUGUAGCAGGUUCUUAUUUCUAUUAGCUCUUUAUACAUAAUCUCUUUAGGCUCUCCUCCUCUUAGAUUAGGAUAGACUAGAUUAUAAAAAUGUUAUCAAAAAGGGACUUCUUUGGACUGUAGGUCAGGGUUUGAACCUUACAUGUUUUGAAAAAAAUUCAAAGGAGGUGUCAGAACACCCCUUUAAUCUAGUAGAUUCUUAUAUCUAUUAGUCCUUAUACAUAAUCUCUUCAGGCUCCACUCCUAGAUUAGGAAAGAUUAGAUUAUAGAAAUGUUACGGUUGCCAUAAAAAAAAAUGUAACUACCCUUUCAUUUUCUCCAACUAUUCACAUAAACUUCCAUUUCAUAUAUUCUGUCCACAAUUGCUUAAAAACAAUUAAUGUACUUUAGUGCUAUAUUUUAGUAUUCGAUUUGCUAGGAGACAGAUUGGUCAAGUAAUCGUGCGAGUUAAAUUUAUAAUUCACGUGAUUGUCUUUUGUCAUAGGGACUAAUCACAAUAGGUAGAAAUUCAAAGUCUAAUUGGCAUAUUCUUGAGCAUAACACAAUAGAUAGAAUUUUGCAAAUUUGUUAUUUUUAGUACACAUUUAUCGUGCCAAUCAUGCGGAUUUCUGUCGUGCUGGUCCAUUUCUAAUAAUUUCGUUAAUGAAAUUCACUUUUUAUAUAAAAAAAUAUUGAAUUUAUCUUAUGGAAAGCCAGACUUCCUCCUCAAAAAAAAAAAAAAAAAAAAAGUCUUUCGCAAGAAGAGGGGAAUAUAUGCCAUUUCAUAGAACCAAAAGAACUAAAAAAAAUAGUAAUUGAAAAUUACUAUCUUUGAAAAAUACAUACUCUCUUUAUUACUACAAUUAUGCAAAGAGACAUCGGGAAAUAACAAUUCCCAUACCAACAAUAUUGUUUGAAAACAAGGCAGUAUUUGCUAUUGGCAUUUUCUUUGAUUUUUUUUUUUUAAUUACGCGAACGACAAAUAUAAGGCUGUAUCUCACGUCUAUUACAAUGACCUAAAUUUCUAUCAAGUUCUAAUUUGAAUGAUAUUCAAUAGUAUUUAUGUCUUUUUACAUGAUGAAGAAAAUCCAAAGUGCCAAUAUCAAGCCCCUUAUGUAAAAAUACACUGUAGUCUUGCCAAAAAGAGAAAAAGAAAACUUGGCCAUUAAAUUCACAAAGAACAAGGAAAAAAAAAAAGAGAAUGCUCUUUUAGUUAGUACAAAAGAACAAGCAAAAAAAAAAAAGAGGAAAGAAUAACAAGAACUUAUAACAAAUCGCUCAAAAAUGAAAAAAAGAACUUACAACAAAUCAGAUUAAAGGUACGUUUGCUAAAAUUGAAAUCUAAAAAUUAUUAAAUUAUUAAAUAUUAAAAUUUUAAUAUUUGAACGUAUUUAAUAUUAAGUCAUGAGUGACCAGUUUAUCAUUUUUUUAGAACAAAUUUUACUUAAACAAUUCAGACCAGUUAACUAAUUAAUAUAUUCUAUUUUUUGUUACAAAAUACGUCUCAACAUAUUAAGGCCGAAAUAUAUUAAAUUUAGUUUAAAUAAAAUAUUAAAUUGAAUUAUUAAAUCAGGCCUAAUCCUUUUUAUUGGGGUUAUUAUUGAAUUUAACAAGAUUAAUGAUUCCCUCCCAAAAUCUGGAAUCGUCCUUUUCAUUGACUGUCAUAACUAACUACCCAUUGGCACCAAAGUCUUCAGAACUCUCCAGACUCCAUCUUGUUCACCACACUCUAACAAUAGAUCCCUUAAUAUUUAUCCAGUCCUAGAACUCUCUAGACCUCCCCAACUCAAUUAAACUCCUAGUAUUUAAAUUCUGAAAGAUCCAAAACCCUUUGUCUGAGGAACAGUAUUCAGCCUUCAGUUGUCUCUUGCAUUUUCUUGCUACCUAGUACUCUGGUAAUUUGAAAUCUUCUACCACAUUUUUACAAGAAAUGGAUGAUGAUUUUGAUUUUCCAUCAGCUAGCAAUGCUGCUGAUGAGAUGGGGAUGGAUGAGGAAUUGGACUUGCCUGAGACCAACCCAGUAAUUAAAGUUGGGGAAGAGAAGGAAAUUGGGAAGAAUGGGUUGAAAAAGAAGCUGAUUAAUGAAGGUGAAGGCUGGGAGAAUCCCAGUUCUGGGGAUGAAGUUGAAGGUAAGGUUAUCAGCUGUUUUGGCUCAUUAAAUCCUAUUGUAGUUGAAAUUAGUCAUAUUCAUCUGCCCAUUAAUCAAUUUUUAUCUAGAUUGUUAAUGGGUUGACUUUCAUUUUGGCUUGAUUAUGCUGCAUGAUUCUCAAAGUUGGGAUCUUUAUGGUGUAUAAGACCCCAAUUGGGGUUAUUUGGACCGUUUCUGGAAAAGGGUUCUUCUUAAAGUUUGAAUGAAUUGAAGAGUUUGUCAUGUAAACUGCUUAGAAAUUAAGAUAAUUUUAUUAAGUGUGAGGAACCUCAAUCAACAGUUUGGUAUUGCUUUUGACGAAAUGGGCAUUACUUCUUGUUCUCAGUUAGGUGUUGGCUAUUUGAUGAAUGAAAUGAUUUUUUGAUUUGAGGGAGUUUCAUCCACUGUAUCAUGCUGAUAAUGUUUUUUUAUUUUAUUUUAUGGUUUAAUGUUGAUUGUGCAGUGCAUUAUGUGGGCACUCUGCUUGAUGGAACUCAAUUUGAUUCGAGCCGUGACAGGGGAACUCCAUUCAAGUUCAAGCUUGGCCAAGGUAAUGACUAGCUAAGUUCGGUUGAAGUUCAAGGAUCAGUAGUAAUUUGAAGUUUAAUAUGACAGUUGUUUAGUCUUUUCAUCCCUGCUGACAAUGCAAUUUGCCCUGUUUUAAUCAGGUCUUAGUUUGUCCAGUUUGGAUUAUUGGACAGUACAAGAAGAUAAAAGAACACUCUUACAUUUUAGGCAAUUACCAGCCUGCCAGCAAAUAUGUUGUUAACAAACAUCUGGAGUAGGUCUAUAAUUGAAAAGGCUUCUAUUUGAUUGUGGCAUUUUGAUUUUUACCUAAUGCAGGACAAGUUAUCAAAGGUUGGGAUGAGGGUAUUAAGACAAUGAAAAAGGGUGAGAAGGCCCUCUUCACCAUCCCUCCUGAGUUGGCCUAUGGGGAGUCUGGAUCACCUCCAACAAUACCUCCUAAUGCCACUCUGCAGUUUGAAGUUGAGUUGCUUUCUUGGACUAGUGUGAAAGAUAUAUGCAAAGAUGGUGGAAUAUUCAAGAAAGUACUUGUUGAAGGAGAGGGUUGGCAGAAUCCUAAAGAUCUUGAUGAAGUUUUUGGUGCGUCAAUCAUCUAUCAUUUCUGUUAUAAUUGUUUUCAUGGCUUUCAUUGGAUGACCUUGGGUUAUUAAAUUUGCUAAAUGUUCUCCUUCUCUUGCAGUCAAAUAUGAGGCACUGCUUGAGGAUGGAACUCUUAUUUCCAAAUCGGAUGGAGUUGAGUUCACUGUGAAAGAUGGUAAUAUGUUGUCCUCAUUAACCUUGUUCUUUCUCCAGUUUUCCGGGGACGCUUGUAAAAGUUUGAUCUGCUUGCAGGUUUCUUCUGUCCUGCUUUAGCAAAAGCUGUUAAAACAAUGAAGAAGGGUGAAAAAGCUCUCUUAACUGUCAAUUCACAAUGUAAGUUAGCUUUCUGCGUCCUGGAUUGGCUUGCAAUUUGUCCUUUGGGUUGCUGACUGUUGGUUAUUGCAGAUGUGUUUGGAGAGAAGGGAAGGCCUCAAGUUGGUGAUGAAAUUAGUGUUCCACCGAAUGCUUCACUUCAAAUUAAUCUUGAAUUGGUUUCAUGGAAAACUGUGUCCGAUGUUACCAAUGACAAAAAAGUGUUGAAGAAGAUCCUGAAGGAGGGAGAAGGAUAUGAGCGCCCAAAUGAUGGCACAGUUGUGAAAGGUAAACUGCAGAGCAAAAAUGUAAACUCUUUGCAGUGAUCCACCAUUGGAAUUUUCAUUCUAAAUUAUCUUUUAGUGUUUGGCAGUGAAAUUGACCGGAAAGCUGCAGGACGGAACUGUUUUUGUAAAAAAGGGACAUGAUGGAGAAGAAUUUGAGUUCAAGGUAGAUGAAGGUAAUUGGUCAUUCACCUAAUGCAACCUACAACUUAUAAGGCUCUAGCUGCCUUUAAUAUUUCAUACGGUACUAUUUUACUAUUUUUCCCUCCUAUCAGCAAACAAUAUGUGGGCAUGUAUUGUAUCCUCUUCUACUUGUUCAGUUGUGUUGAACUUACCUUUUGCUGUCUUCUGCAGAACAAGUCACUGAAGGACUUGAUAGAGCUGUAAAAACAAUGAAAAAUGGUGAAAUGGCUCUUGUAAUUGUUCAACCCGAAUAUGCUUUUGGUCCAUCUGAGUCACAACAAGAGCUGGCUGUUGUUCCUGCAGAUUCAACCCUAUACUAUGAGAUUGAGAUGGUCUCCUUUGUCAAGGUGAGUGAGCACUUUUCUCUGCACACAAAGAUGUUUGCCUUUCAAGCAUCUGGAUGAGGUUUUGACUAUUGUUACAUUUACUGCUUACCAUAGGAGAAGGAAUCUUGGGACAUGAAUGCCCAAGAGAAAAUUGAGGCUGCUGGGAAGAAAAAGGAGGAAGGGAACGUAUGGUUCAAGGCAGGAAAAUAUGCGAGAGCCUCUAAGAGAUAUGAGAAGGUGCUGCACACUUCUGCAAAAAAAUUUAAAUCUCCUGUCCAUGAUUUUUAUUUCAAAUGUCCAUAAAAGGCUUCUUUUAUUGUGCUCAGGGUGUGGGCUUCGUAGAAUAUGAUUCAUCUUUCAGCGAUGAGGAGAAGCAACAGGCUAAAUUGCUCAAGAUCAGUUGCAAUUUGAACAAUGCAGCUUGUAAACUGAAACUAAAAGACUAUAAAGAGGCAGUGAAAUUGUGCACAAAGGUCUUGGAUAUUGAUAGCAGGAACGUCAAAGCACUUUAUAGAAGGGCCCAAGCAUACAUCCAACUUGUUGAACUAGAAUUGGCAGAACAGGACAUAAAGAAAGCUCUUGAAAUUGAUCCAGAUAAUAGGUAUGAGUUCCACAGAUCUGUCGUAACGUAUUAAAAUGAACAUUUUUGUAAAAAAUUCAUUUUCUUCGAUCUAAAUAUGAUUUAUAUACUAUAUGUCAAACUUGAACCAGUAUGUUAUUCUUUCAUGGCAUAUAUAUCUGAGAUUAGCCUAAAAUAUCGGUAGAUACAGAAGGAAGCAAAAUGGCAAGAAAAUACAUGUAGUUAUGAUCAGCUUAAAAACAUGUUUUAUGUUCUGUGUUUUACUAUUCGUUUCUAAUGCCUUGCAUGAUUGGGAACGUGGAUGGCCAGGGAUGUAAAAAUGGAGUACAAAAUCCUGAAGGACAAAGUGAAGGAAUACAACCGGAAGGAUGCACAGUUCUAUGGUAGUAUAUUUGCCAAGAUGAGUAAACUGGAGCAACAAAAUUCUAGUGUGAGUCAUUGAGUUACCGAUAAGGUUUUCUUUUAAUUCGUUGGAAUGUAAUCUUAUAGUGGUAAAAUAAUCAUGUUCUAACUACUUGUUGCUAAUCUAAUGAAUGCGUUGUUGAAAUGCAGAGUGCAGAAAAAAAAGAGGCAAUGCCAAUGGCCAUUGAUAGUAAGGCCUAAAAGUUCAUCUCUAGUAAUAUCUUCUCUUUUGUUCUCUUCUCUAAAAUGUGCAAGCAUCGAGUCUGUACUUAGAUAUAGCAUACCUUGUGUCAUCAUAGAGAGUAAUAAAAAGAGUUGUCUGUCUCUGAGGUGUCGAGUGAGUCCCUUGUACUAGAAAAUUGGUAUAUCAUUCGUGUCGAAGCAUGUUUGUUAUGCUUAAUCAAGUGACCAUGGCAAAUCUCUCUCUCUCUCUCUCUCUCUCCAGCAUAUUCUAUCUUCACAGCACCUCUGAAACUUACCACUUUUGUUUAGUUUACUGAAAGACUAUAAUGACUAUGAAGCAGCAAGAUAAAAAGCACCUAUAACGAUGGUGCUUCAACAUAUGUCAUAUAUUGUAUCCUUCUGUAUAUUGAAAUGCAUGUGUAAAAUGUAUUUGAUUGCCAAUCUCUUCAGUGCCUAUAUUGACUUGAGAUAAAAUUUUGUUCCAUAAAGGGGCAGUACAUUUAAGGGCAGUAUCCAGCGUCAGCGCAAAAACAAGGGAUUGCUGGUCUGCUAUGAUAACUGCAGUAAAGGCAGGCCUUAGGAGCAUUUCUACCCGGCUAAAUGCCCCUGUCAAGAGCAAAACAUCAUAACAAGGAGCAUAAUCUCAGGUUUAGCUGAAAUGUCUAGUAAUGCUUGUUUGUAAGGUCAUACAAUUGAAUGCUUUCUGUAAGACCAUAAGGUAACUGUUGUAAGCUUGAAAACAAUUUCUGUAAAAUAUCAGAUGAAUCUGAAAGGACGAUGUGUAACAAAAUGGGACACUAUGCCUCCCUGCUAAUCAGGGAGCAGAAUGACAAGCUCAGACUUGUAGAACUAUGCUUUUAACUGUAAUAAAUACAACCAGUUUUACAAACAUUAUGGAUGUACUAUUUUGGUGCUCAGAGCAAAAAAGUACUUGUACUAUAAGAUUCUAAUCUGUUAAAUCUUCUCUUAUCAGAUAGAUUGCCUCAAUACAACACUAACACAAGAAACUCCGACAGAACAACUGAAGCCUCAAACUGCUAUGGUUUAUCCUAGAACUUUAAGCAGGCAUUGUCUCCGGAAAGUUGUCAUCACCAAACUUCCACAAAAUCCCAAUGCAUAUCCCAAUCCUGUUAAAAAGAAGAGCCAAAAUUUUUCAUGCAUUUUUUCGUUCUUGUCAUCAUCAAUCUGUCCUUUCCCAUUGCUGUUUUGGCCAGUGAGGAUCUGACAUUUUGUAGGCAAUGGUUCCCCACAAAGUCCAGGAUUACCACCAUAAAUAGAGGGAUCUUGAAAUGUAAGGAACUGGUUGGUUGAUGGAAUUGGUCCAGAUAAGUUGUUAUGAGACAAAUUCAAAAAGUUUAAUGAGGUCAUGUGAGACAUGGCAGGAGGAAUACUACCAGAGAGAGAGUUCCAUGAGAGGUCAAGAGUUUCCAACAGGCUUAAACUGCCAAUCUUUUUCGGUAUCUUCCCUGUGAACUGGUUUCUAGAUAAAUUUAAGGUUCCCAGAGCUAAGAGAUUGCUUACCUCUUCUGGAAUGUCUCCUUGCAAAUGAUUGCUUGAAAGAUCAAUAAUGUUCACAAGCUUAAGUGUUUUUGUGUACGCCAUUGCUCUCCCUUUCACAACCAAUUCUACUUGAGGUACAAAUGCAUAAGGUACAUCUGGUGGUACUUUGUGGUACAACAUCACAUCAUGGAAGCCACUCAAAUUGCCCAAACAGAUAGGAAGAUGUCCUGAUAAAUCAUUGUCUGCAAAGUCCAAGACAUGUAGCAUCUGAAGACUGCACAACUCCUGAGGUAUGCUGCCUAUGAACUUAUUGUUUCGCAACCUUAGCACUGUGAGUGAGGUUAGCCUUUCUCCAAUCCAUCUUGGUAUUUUCCCGGAAAAUCUAUUGUCUCCAAGAUCAAGCAGACUCAAGUAUGUAGAGUUUAUUGUUGUUCCGAAUGGGAGUUCUCCGGAAAGAUUGUUCCCAUUCAAUUUCAACCAGAGAAUGUAAGUUGGUAAAAACAUUGAACUAGGAAGAUUGCCUGAAAGGUUAUUCAUUGACAGAUCAAUAAUUAAGAGAGCUUGUGAGUUCCCCCAGUUAUCAUGGAUUUCUCCAGAAAAUUUGUUGUUUGACAAAUACAGCUCAGUCAAAUACUUCAUCUUCCCCAUGGAGAAGGGUAUCUCACCAUUCAUAAAGUUACCUGACAGAUUAAGGUAAGUCAUGUAUGGCAUUUGUUCACCAAUGCUCUCCGGGAUCGAUCCUGAUAUCGAAUUGUUGGCCAAACUCAGAUAUGACACAUUGCUCCAUAAAGGAAGAGGGCCUUCGAACCGAUUUGAGCUGAAGUCCACCCAUGCACCCCUUGGAAAUUCCAGUGAUUUCGGGAGCACUCCAGCUAUCCGGUUAUCAGAGAUAUCUAACCUGAUAAUUUGAGGGGUUAAUUCCCAAAACCAAUUCGGUACAGUUUCUGAGAGGCCUACCCCUUGAAGAUAGAGUGUGGACAGUUGCUUUUGAGUCAUCAGCCAGGUUGGGAAUCUAUCACCAAUUUGGUAAUUGGUGAUUCUCAUGAAUUUUAGAUUGAAAGGAGGAAUCCAGUCGUUGCUCACAUUUAAGAAAAGCUGUUUGCUUGAAGAUGAUAGAGCCAGAGUUUCCAAAUUAUUUAGCCUGUGAAAAUGUUUCUGGGAUAGAGAACCUUCUCUGGAAUCCUGAAAGAGAUACAAGCGCUUUAAUCCUGUUAACUCUCCAAUGCUUUCUGAAAUCGAACCAUUUAUCGGAUUGUAACUGAGGUCCAAUACCUCCAAGCUCCUCAAACUUCCUAUUGAUGCCGGAAUAGAGCCUGAGAUCAAGUUGUUUGAAAGGUAAAAGUACCUCAGUUCCUUGAAGAUUUGUAAAUGAUCUGGUAGCUGUCCACUUAGUUUAUUAUAAUGUAAAUAGAGUGCCUCUAAGCUACCAUUGCUGGGAGAUAGGCCAGCAAAUAGUUUGCUUACAUCGCCUUCAACGUUGUUGUAUGAUAGAUCAAUCUCAGAAAAGGUAGUGAGAUUAGAGAACCACUGAGGUAUGGUGGAGUCUAUGUCAUUGAAGUACAGGUUCAGGACAGACAGGGAAGUGAAAUUCAAAGUGGAUAGAGUUUGGGGAAUGUUGCGAAGCUCACAGGAUUCUAGUCUCAAUUCUGAAAGAGAAGGAAGCAUGUUAACAGCUUGAAGCCAGUGAUCAGAUGCCAAACUAAGGUUGACAUAUCCCAUGUUGAGGUGUUUCAAAGAAGAAAGACCUUGGAGCCAGUGCAAAUCAGACACAAGUGCUCUCAGAUCAUACAAAUCAAGAUACUGCAGGUUUGACAGGUUUCCAAGAUGGGAAGGAACUAGUCCCUCAAAAGAUGCAUAAGAGAGAUUGAGGUAACUCAAUUCCUCAAACGAGCCUAAAAAUUCUGGAAUAAGGCUCCCCUGGAAAUUAUUCAUGCUCAAGUCCAAGUAGUUUAAAUGCUGCAACUUAAGCAAAGAAGGACUAAUCUUACCACCCAAGCACGAAGAAUUUUCAGUGAGGAUAGCAGUUUCACCUUCUUCAUAACACUCACCAUUUCUAAGUUCAAGCCUUACUACAUUACCUGUUUUGUUGUUGCAGGUUACACCAGGCCAUGCACAACAGUCUUCACCAGUCCAGGAUGCAAGCCGAUUUGAAGGAUCUAUUAGAGCUUCUUUAAAAGUGAUGAUUGCUUCCCUUUCAACUGGGAUGCAUCCAGUAGUUGCAUGGUGUUGAAGGCUAGUUACCAUAGGCAAUAACGAGAGGACAAGAGAGAGAAUUUGGACCAAAAUGCUUGUCAUCCUUCUUUGCUGGUUAUUGAUGGUUCUACAAAUUUUCUGAAUGCAAACGUGCCAAGAAAAUUUCACCAUCUCAUCUUCAGGUAAAGAGGAAGACUUAAACCUCAAGAAGCACUAAAGUCAUAACAAUAAUUUGAGAGCACAAGAAAAUCUGCUGUAUUAGACCAUAGCAGUGUUUUUUGAAUGCAGUUUUUUGACUUGCAAGAAGACAAAAAAAAAAAAGAAUUCAAUGAUGACCCAAUAACUUGGAAAUUGGAAUGCUAAACAAUUUGACCAAGUCAAUAAUAGAUAGCAACAUAACAUUCAGAACUUCACAUUGCGGGAAUGCAAAUCCUUAACGCAAAAGAAAGCGCGUACGUCCCUUCUAAACAUUACAUCCUGACCAUGGCGAUAAAUGAAUUGAAUCGAACCGAGUUUUGACUUAAUUGAGUCAAACUUUGAUUCAAUUUUACCGAACUCAACUUCGAUGAAUUCUCAGCAUAAACCUCGUCGAGCACGAACUUAUGUUUAAAAAAAUUUAUUUUUUUUAAAAAUAAAUAAAAUAGUAAUUUUUUCUUAAUAAAUAAUAAAAUAUUAAAAAUAUAUACGUAAUUUCACUAAAUAUAUACACACACACAUAAUUUAAUCGAUUCGCGAAUUAAUAAGUUGAAUUUAUCUAUGUUUGAACUCGACUUGGCCUCAAUGUUGACCGAAUUUCAAUCGGAUUUUAACUGAGUCGGCUCACGGGUACUCACGAGCGACUUGAUUCGUUUGCUGCCAAUUUAACCCACUUUCACUGCCUUGCUUUUGGUUUGAAAAAACAAAAGAACAAAAUUGGGCUUUGGGAUCGUAAUUGCGUGAUGAAACAGAACACUUGGUUCUACUGUGUAAAUUUCCAGCAUAGUUUAGAUUUGAAAUUCAAUUAAUUAUAGUCCCGAAUGCCUGAGUUCAUAAUUUAUGCCAAUAGUCCAAUUUUUACUCUCUAUUUAAUCCAAAGUUCACAAUUAUAAUCCAAUAUAACAGUAGUUCACAAUUUAAUUAUAAUCCAAAGCUGUAUCUCUUAUUUUACUUUCUAUUUACAAUUUUUUUCAAUAAUGUAUACUAAUAUCUGUCAAAUGCCCACAACGCGUGAGAUUUGGAUGGGAUAAAUCCUACUUCAACAAACUGGAAGCCAUAAUUGUGCACUUUCAUUAGACCUCAAGAAAAUUACUUCAAAGCUGGAGUUAAGCAUUAAUAUGAGAGCAGUAUCAUAUUUCCUUUACAUCUGGAAGUCUAAACCACAAAGACAAGAAAGUCGAACAGGAAAUAGAAAAAUCAUUUCCAAAAGAUGGUUAUUCCUAAUUGCAAUUUUAAUUGCAAUAAUGCACUCUUAUACUAUUAAUAAACCACACCACUCGAAUAAUUGUAACCCGAACAAUCUCUAGGAUGAUAACCAGAAGUACAUCCUCUGAAAAUUAUGAAUUAUUUAAGCAAACAGGACCAAGAAACAAUAGCCCACAUGAAGAACUAAAUCCUGUCACGUCUCACUUUUCUUUUUCCUGGAGAAGGGACCUAAAUUGUUAUAUGCCAAAAUGUCCUAAAUUGUUAUAUGCCAAAAUGUUGUAUUACAUAACUGGUAUCUACAAAUGAAUAAAUAUCGGCUACCCCGUCCUUCAACAGCCCUCCAUGCAUUAUAUCUACCUUGUAUAUAAGAAAAAAAGCCAAUUUACUGUAGCAACCCAUCUUUUUGACACAUGUACUGUCUAUUUUUUGACAAGUGGCAGUUUUCAUUUUUAGUUGAAUUUUUGCUCCUCUAUUUUCUUUGGUUAAUCAAAAUUCAUAAACAUCGCCUCCUAAUUCUUCUCUUCUUCCUCUUUCCACCUCUACCUUCAAUCCUUAUCUCUCUCUUUUUUGUUCAUCUCUCCUUUUUCCUCUUCAAAUUUUUUCUUUAUAAUUAAUUAUACUGGGAUUAUUUUCUUAUUUUUUUUAGGUGAUUAUUGUUAACUACAGAGAGGUAUCACAACUAGGGCUAUUCACGAAUCGCUCGCGAGCUGCUCAAAUAUGAGCUCGACUCAAACUCAGUCAAUAUCGAGUUCGAGGUCAAAAAUAUUAAACUCGUUGGUUCGUGAACGCAAGCUCAAUUAUAUUUUUUAUUUUUUUAUUUUAAUAGUAAAAUUACAUAUAUAUCCCUAAUAUUUUAUUAUUUGUUAAAAAAUUAUUAUUUUAUUCAUUUUUAAAAAUAUAAUAAUAAUUUUUUUUUAAAUUUUUGCUCGAGCUUGAGCUUGACAUUUUGAGCUCGUCGAACUCGAGCUCGAGUUCGAGUUUCAUAAAAUUAACUAGAGGCUCGGCUCGAUUAGGUCAAAACUCGACUUGACUCGACUCGUUUGCACCCCUAAUCGUAACAAUCAACUAAUUUAUACUGUCACUUCUUCUUCUACCAAUUUUAACUCUUUAAUCCAGUAUUUUGCUUUUCCCUUUUUUUCCCCUCCAUCCUAAUUUUUCUUUGCAUUUCCUCCUUCCACUCAGUCGAUGCCUCUUUUCCUUUUUCCUCUAGAAUUAAUUGAAUGUAUUUUUUUCUUGUACGAGAAUGGAUGUUUCUUUUCUUUCUUUGUUCAAAAAUCAUAAUUCAUAAUCAGCUCUAUUUUUCUAAGAGAAACAUAGGCAAGAUCUUUUACCAUUACUACUCCUACUGUUUGGUAUGUUCCAUUUUUUUUCCUAUUUUUUCCCAUUUCACACUGCCAAAUAUGGAUUUAAGUUUUUUUCAUUAAUUGUAUUUUAUUUAGCUUUUAUCAUUUUUCUUUUUUUUUUUGCCUCUUUAUCAUGUUAUCAUGGUGUAUUUUUUUUUUAAAUUUUAGUUUGAUCUCCUUGAUAUUCAUCAACCUUCCAUUAUUUUAGUUCUGCAAGUCGAUUCUCCUUUUGUGAGGUUUGUUUUAAAUCUAAAUGCAAAAUUUGUAUUUUGCAAUUAUGAUGCUAUAGUUCCUUUUCAAUGUAUAAUUGAAUCUUGCACUCUUUUAUUAAUUCUUUGGUACUAAAUUUUUGUACCCUUUUAUGCAUUGAAAAGCCUUCUGUUAAAAUUUCUUGGUAAGUUUUGUUGUGAAUUUGUAAGAUAGAAGUUUUUACAUGAUGAUGUUUUAUUUGAGAACAAAAUAGUGGUGAAAUUUUAUGUAUUUGUAAUUAUAAUAGCAUGAUAUUUGAGCCUUAUGAAACAAAUAUCACUUAUGUUAACAUUGAAUUGGUUUUGCAUUUCUCAAUUCUCAUGUAUUUGAUUUUUGAAUUCUUUGUUGUUGUUUGUCCAUAUAAUACAACAAGAUAUUGUCUAUACAAUACAACAAGAUAAAUCUCUACUGAAUCACGAUAAGCAAGUUGAAACAAACUUUUGAAACAUUCCACUAAAAACAAAUUUUUUUUAUUUUUUAGACUCAUUUUUUGGUAAUUAUAAUUGCUCUUUAUUUGAAAGCAAAUUAUAAUGUGAUGAAUUUUAGUUAGAAUUUUAUAGGUGGGCCUAGGCUGUGCUUGAAGCACAGCCUGGUUCCUUCUAGUGUUUCCAAACUCAAAAACGAAUAGCUUCUAACACGUGUGACACGAGAACGCACUGAUUUCUAUAAGCUCAAGAGUUGACAGCUCGUUAGCCAAAAGUAAAAGAUUCAACUAAUACUAGGCCUUUGGCGCUAAUUGCCUCUUCAUAUGACAACCUUAAUUGAUUUUUUUCAAUGGAAUCUCUAUUCACAUCGAAUCCCCUCUCCUUCCCCUAGAUUAGGUUUAGAUUAGGUUAUAUGAAUUCUAUCGUUGCGACAAAAAAAAAAACUAGAUUAUUGUGCAUGAGAUUUUGCAGAACCAUGUACCCUCAACAAAAAUUUAACAGCAAAUCGCAACUUCAGUACACAUAGUUUAGGUUCUAGCCAGUCGAAUAUCAAAACUUUUCAGUACAAUAUUUGGUUACAUAUGGCGCACAAGUACUGGAAGAAAAAGCAAGAGAAUGAUGCCAUCAAAAGCGUCUAAAGCUACUACUGCAUCUGAUCCAGCAAAGAGCUCAGGUGUAUCAGCAGCUUAGGCAGCACCAGUACUCUUACUCUUCUUCCUCUGGAUCUUCUUCAUAUAAAAUUCCAGUUCCUUUCCUUCCAAGAU